RNAcentral lists this long non-coding RNA (51394 nucleotides) under Triticum aestivum (bread wheat). Its description in RNAcentral is "long non-coding RNA (TAES_LNC022468)". The record is from RNAcentral. Lineage: Eukaryota; Viridiplantae; Streptophyta; Magnoliopsida; Poales; Poaceae.
UUUUUUUUUUGUUUCUUGUUAUGCAUAUUUUUUUUAAACUGCUCAUGCAUUGUUAGCACACGUAGCACCACACUUUGUUUAUAUAUUGCACUACAACAUAUGCGACACAGAACUGCAUUUUUGUCCAAACACACCCAUUUUUGUGUAAAAGAGUAAUAAAACAAAAUGACCUCACAUGCAUUUAAAAGAGUGACCGUCUAUAGGUUUAGAAGAACUUGUACUUUUGCUUUCGUGUGACCUCAUAUGCGACGUGUGUUUUUUACUUUGUGAUGCCUUUCCACUUUUCGCCAGAUAAGGAGGAUGACUCAACUGUUGAAGAGCAUUUAUGGUGAUAAGUUGUAGAACUCCAGGAAUUACCCUGACUGGAUUAAAUUGGCAGAGAAGCCCUCUUACCCGACUGUGCCAGUGCAAGGAACAAACGAGUGUGGAAUCUAUGUUCACAGGUUGACACAGGUGUAUGACGGUGUGCGUCUGAUGAGGACAUCAAUACCAUUGUUACACCCAUAGCCCCUGCUGCUAUACAUACUGGACCAAUUACUAGAGCUCGCGCACGCCAACUAAAUUACCAGGUACUUUCGUUUCUUGGUAAUGAUUCUAAUGUUCAUGAGAAUAUGAUGCUGCCUAAAUUGGAUACAUUUGUUUUGCUUACAAAUGAAGGGCCUAGCUUGGAGAAGGAUGAACAUUGGAGCAAGAACAAGCCUAGAGAUGAUGGCAUGCGCAAGGGGAACAAGAACAGAGUUACAAGUGAUGAUUUCAGGUCUUUGAAGCCACCAUAACGACUGCAUGAAGCCUUGGACGAAAUAUACAAGAUGUCACUUCAUAAAUUUCGUCCAGAGGCUAUUAUAGGUGCUGCGUCACCUUUUUAUUGGGCCAGGCCCAUGUAAUUUGAAAUACAUAAGUAUAGGCUAUUUUUAGAGUCCGUGUGUGUGGGGAAACAAGAGAUAGGGUUGAUUUCGGACCCCUCCACCAAGGGCCACGAAAUUCCCCCUCUCUUCCUCCAUAUAUACAGCCCUUAGGGCACCGUUUAGACUUUGGGUUUUGUUUAGAUUAAAGUUUGCCAUAGCUGCAACUUCGCGUACUUCGUUUGUGUUCAACGACCAGACAAAGGCGUCACAGAACCCCACCUUGAUCAAAAAAAAGCUUUCAUCUUAUAUUCGCAAUAUCCAGAUUGGAAUCUCAGAUCCUUGCUUGUUCUUCGUUUGCUCGCAGGAAUCAGACCCUCGUGGUCAGGUUGAUCGUGCUUCGGCGUGGUCAAUAACCUCUCGGAGUUGGUUUAGCGAUUGCUAAGGCGCGACGUCCUCGCACGUUCGUAGUUGGAUCGUCAAAGUCGACUUCCACCAAAGCGAAAUCCAUCAUCUCAUCGAAAGACGGGACACCUCCGCCUCUAUCAAGUGGUAUCAGAUUUCCAGGUUGCUCGGUGAGAUUUUACAGUUUUUCGUAGUUUAGAUCGAGUCUUUUCUUCAUACCGAUAGUCCACGAAAAAGCCACAAAAAAAAUUAGGGUUAGUUCAUCAUAUCCGAACCAGUCUGAGCCAUUGCAUAAUCUUUUUAGGGUUUUGCUUUGUUGGAUUUGCGGUUGCAUCGUCGUGUCUAGUUGCUGGUCUUAGAGUCUAGUCUUUUAGAGUUUCGAGUUCUGGUCAUAAGUUGUCACACCGCCGCCGCACCAUCAUCAUCGCCCCUGCCUUCUACCACCACCGUUUAUCCGCCACCGCUUCAAAUCCGUAUCCAUAUACCACCACCGCUGCCAUCUACCACCAUAUAUCCACCACCAAUCCGAGUUCUUGUCAUAUUAGGUUUGUUUUCGAGAUCCAUCUAGAUUCCGAUUCGUGUUUCCUUGCCGGAGUAGGUUUCGGAAAAAAAGCACCCUCCGUUUAGGCCCAAAAUUUUUUGAAAACGCAUUUUUCGAAAAAAUUUCUAGCUAUCCUAUUUUUAGGUGUUUCUGAGCGUAUUGAGACAGGUGCCAUUAUAGGAAGUUUUUUUGAGCCGUUUCCAGUUUUUGGGUCCGGGCAGUCGGAAAAAAAAAUUGGUCAACAAAAAUUUCGUGCCCAUCCUGUCAGUUUGACCUGGGAAGAGUUUUGAGACAAUCGCCAUUAUAGUGAUUUUUCGCAAAAAAAAAAGCAACGCAAAAAAAAAGAGCAAAAAAAACCCAGAGUGUGCUUUUCCCUUGUUUACGUGCAGCGCCGUGAUUUUGUUAGUGUUCUAGGCUCGCGUCUCUAGUACAGUCUAGCCUAGGACCAGCACAGUACCGUCGUUGAGCGUUUAUUCAACUUUGCAUCUCUGAAUUGAUUAUUGCUGAUCCUUUUUUUUGCUACCAUAUUAUAAGCCUUCCCAGCUCCACAUACAUCUACGUCAUGCGUUUAACUCUCCCUGGUAAUCGCUCUAUCCAAGCUUUGAGAGUUUUGACUACAACGGUUGCCGAUCACCACCUGCUGCUGGGUAAGAACUGGUAAGAAUUUGAGAUUUGCUUGACGGGUUUGUGAUACACCACCACCACUUCUUAGUAGUCUGUAGGAUCAUAUUCUUGUGUGUUUCUAUUUGCUGCUAACCAUGGUAGGAUCACAAGCCGAUGAGACUGAUUGGGAGAACCUGAUGAACAAACAGCUACAUGAUAAAUUUCAGCAAAUGAUGAGUGGACAGGUGCAAGAUGUGCUAAACAGAUUUGACGAGGCCAUGGAGAAGGUAGAUGGCAUUGAGAAGACGUUCGAAACGAAGCUUGAUAGCAAGUUUAAUGAAUUGCUCGCGUGUUUUCCACCACCACCGCCGGCUGCACCUAUCGCACCUCUGCAACAACAACAACGCCUGUUUCCAAAUCAGUAUGGACGAGCGAAGCGUGUUCCUAUUGUGGAUGGCCAAACUUCUGGUGUUGCUGUUCCUAUUGUUGAUGCUUCCUUGGCUCCUUCUACUGUUGCUGCUGGUACCCAGGAGGAUGAUGAGUAUGCGGGCGAUUAUGAGGAUGAGGUUGAUCAAAAUCAGCACUACGUGCAGCCACCUGCACCACCACCAGCAGGUCGACCUCAGGUAUAUAUUCGUAAUGAUAGGCCUGCACCACCACCUCAGGUACGAGAUGAUGUCCAUAUUCCUAAACUGAAAUUGAAUAUUCCACCAUUUGAGGGUAGAUAUGUUCCUGACUUGGGUCAUGAUAGUGUGUAUGAAUAGAUUCAGACUUGGCAGCGGCGUAUGUGGAUGAAACUGUGUGUGUUUUAUUUUAUAUAAAUUCCUAAUAUAAACACUAUUUCAAGUCCACCAUAUAUAUAAACACUAUUCUGAUCACGGGGUCGGAAUAAUAUUCUUAUCACAACAUGAACUUUCCGAGUAACGCGCCUGACCUUCCCCGAGUGCUAGGUUGAACUUCAGCUAAAAAGUGUCCAAAUUGGGCUUGCGAUAUACGGUUGGAAAGCUAUGGACACGACUAUCAUGACCCAAGUUGAAUUUUUGGCAAAAUGUAAGCGGUUUAAGAGCAGUUUUGAAAACCGUUUUUUCCUUCAUACAAAAAACGUGAAUCGUAUUUUCAAUCGCAUUUCUAAAUAGUUUUAUUGGAAUGAGACAAAUAAUAUGGUGUUGGAAAGAUGAUGCAAAACCGCUCCUUCUACAUGUUAAUAGUUUUCUAUAAUUCCUUAUGGUUAAAGAGUAAUUUGAAAAACCGCAAAAUUUCACAAACCAAACAGCCGAGUUCGUAUUUUCGAUGUCAUUUCUAAACGGCUAAUCCGAUUGAGCCAAAUGAUAUGGCGUUGGAAAUCUUGUGAAAAUGCGCUACUUUUUCAUGUUGAAUGUUUUUUCUAAUUUUGAGAGGUGUAAAAGAAAUUUAGAAAAUAAUACAAGUUCUAACGAAUUUGUAUUUUCGAGCUAAUUUUUUGACCGUAUGUUCGAGUACAGCAAAUGAUAUAGCGUUGGAAAGCUUGAGGAAAUGCGAAAAACUUUUGUAUCUAUUAUUUCUCCCGAUUCCUUAUGGUUUUAAGUCAUUUUUUAGAAUGUCCAAAAACAUAUUUUUGCCGUAAUUUCUACAAACUUUAUCGGAUUGGGGCAAUUAAUAUACUCUUGAAAAGCUACGGAAAAUGCGUAACUUUUUGAUGUUGAUGGUUUUCUCAUAUUCCUAGCCGUUUUUAAGUAAUUUCAAAAACGGACAGAUCAUUUGUUCUGCCUCUAUCGCGGAACAGAUUCUUCGAAAAUGCACCACAUGAAGAACUUGAACUUCUCGGCAUGCCUACUUGAACUUCACUCUGUUUUCACGUGCUUUUUUUGCCCGAAGCUCUCCAUCCACUCAUCAGAACACUCACCGGAAUUGAGCAAGUAAUAUACCAGUGGAAAGCUGUUGUGAACACGCAACUUUCUCGUGUUGAACGUUUUUUCAUACCCGCGACGAUUUUAAUAGUUUUUCAUAUGAAAUUCAUCCAUUGUAGUAGUUGAACUUCCUGUUGUUUUCAGUUGAACUUCUAUGACGUAUUUUGUUUGUAAUUUUCUCAUCCAUUCGUCAGUGUUACACAAAUGAUAUUCCUUUUGUACAAAUCUCUCUCACAAUAAUUUUUUAACUUUCUCCGACGAAGGACUUGAACUUACAACAACAAAACUUUCAGACUUUGCUUUUUUAUUCUUUUUUUAAUACAAAAUCACACCGUGUAGUACACGAACUUCUGGCACUUAUCAACCUGAUCUUCUCUCGGUUACGUGAAAAUAUUUAAGUUUUUUUUAUGAAUUUUUAAUUUGAUUUUCUUAAUCUUUUUUUAUGAAUUUUGAAGCGCUCUAUUUUUAGUAGUUGAACUUCGAGUUAUUUUAUUUUUGAACUUCUUGUUUCCAUUCUUUAAUAACGAGGAAAAUCUGAGUUUUCGAUAAUCAUCAACUUCUCCAUGUUUUUAAUAUGGACUUCCUGGUUUUAUUUCUUAAUCCUUUUUUAUGAAAUUUUGAAGCAUUAUAUUUUUAAAAGUUGAACUUCUUGUUUUUUAUUUUUGAACUUCUUGUUUCCAUUCUUUAAUAACGAGGAAAAUCUGAGUUUUCUAUAAUCAUCGAACUUCUUCAUCUUUUUAAUAUGGACUUCCUAGUUUUAUUUUCUUAAUCUUUUUUAUGAAAUUUUGAAGCACUCUAUUUUUAUUAGUUGAACUUCUUGUUAUUUUAUUUUUGAACUUCUUGUUUCCAUUCUUUAAUAACGAGGAAAAUCUGAGUUUUCUAUAAUUAUUGAACUUCUCCGUCUUUUUAAUAUGGACUUCCUGGUUUAUUUUCUUAAUCCUUUUAUAAAAUUUUGAAGCGCUCUAUUUUUAAAAGUUGAAAUUCUUUUUAUUUUAUUUUUAAACUUCUUGUUACCAUUCUUUAAUAACAAGGAAAAUCUGAGUUUUGUAUAAUCAUCGAACUUCUCCAUCAUUUUCAGAAACAUGGAAAAACCCAUUUUUAUGAACCUUUUUUAAAUUUGAACUUCAUGCUCUUAUUUUUUUAGAAACAUGAAAGAAUGAUUUUUAUAAACUAGUUUUACUAUAUGUGAAUGUGUGCUUUUUAUAUUCAAACACCUCACAUGAUUUCCACGUAAAUGGUAUUUUUUAGUGUGAUUGACAUCUUGAUAUUUUUUUCAUGAACUCCCCGGAAAUUGAAACAUUUAUGCUUCACUACACAUUUUUAUCGUUCUUUAAUUGCAAUAGUUUUUACUAUGUGUGAAUGUGUGCUUACAUUUGAACUUCCCACAUGAUUUUCAUGUGAACUUUAAAAAGAAAUUGAUUGGGAUUUUUUUGUUCUCAUUUUAGCUAACAUUAAAGGCAACAAAAUUACACAGCUCACACUUUUGUGCUUGUUUGUACAUCUUGCAUGCAUUCGAGAACAAAACUGGGUUGCAAACAUAUGCCAUUUAUUUGUCCAAAUUUUCUAUAGAAAACAACAAUCAUCUGGCCAAUGCACCACCUGUCGCAUUCAUAUAAUGAAGAUGUUUUUCUAUCAUUUGAAUUGCUCAAAUAUACGCACAAGAACUUCUGUCAAGAACAUGUUGACAGGUACAUAUACAAACAACACCCACGUGCCCCAAAUGCUACACAUCCUUAGUAGCUCAAUAAGCAUCAUUUUCUUUCUAAAGUUUUUUUCUUCUAUUUCCUGUAACUUGAUUCACGUAACUCCGGAGAUAAAAAGAAGAAAUAAUAGCAAUGGCAGCUAAUCUUCUCCCCUUGCUCACCUCACCAUUCAGCAGCAACAAACGACAACACUUUAUAAUCAUAGAAACAUGCAGAGAUCACAUGCAGUGUAUACAGAAGAGAAACAAAAUAUGGGCGAACAAUCGGCUAUUCUUUGGCACAGCAAUGAUUGGGGCACUUCAGGAGUGGUGCUAGCUGGAGUAGAUGUGAACAUCAGUCUGAAGAAGUGGCCGGCCGGUCUGAGUAGAAGGCCCUCCUCUCCUUCUGUACCUACGUACUUAGACCAAGUUACAUAGUUCUACGACUAUAUAUACAGAACUGAAGAAAUGGAAUACGCCCCUGAGUGAACACUGACGGCACUAGACAUGAGUACAUCGCCUGGCAAAAACCACCUGGGGAGAGGGCCUUAUUUGUAUGCUUCUAAAAGUAUUUCAUCUCUGAUUAAAUGGACCGUCGGCUGUCAUGCAUUUUGGAGAUAAACUUCUAAGAAAACUCAAGUUUUCCAUUACUGAAGCUCCUGUUAAACUGAAAUCAACGGACCAAAACACCAAUUUCUUUGCAGCUGCAGAUAAGGUUGACCUUCAGAUAUCAAAUCACUUAAAAACAAUACAUAUUGGCCAGGAGGAAGGAACCAACGCUUGGCUGAAGACGCACAUGUGCCAAUGGCUAGAGCAUGAGGAAUAGUAGAAAAGCGAGAUGAGGGAGGAUGCGAACAUGUACCAGUGGCUCGACGGAACGUUUGCUGAAGACACACCAAAUGAUCUUCAGAUUUCUGCACUUCUACUGGCAGAAGCUUUGACACAAAGGAGCACGGACAAAGGAACUCGGACGGACAUGGGUGGGGCACUCGGACUGCCGAAGAAGCGGCCGGAGCAGCAUCAUACGGCGGUGGCUGGGACAUCCUAGAUCGAAGCUGCAUGCACUGGAUCAGGGCCGUACGUGCACAUCGCUCACUGGAGGUACAGGGGCUUGAAGGCGGAGGAUCCGGUGGCACGACGGUGGGAUCCUAGCGCCGCCGUAGCGAGGCAUGGUGGAGGCGCAAUGGCUUGACGGUGAUGGUAGCCGGAUGGCAAUGCUCAGGGGUGCACGGAUCCGUGCACGAAGGAGCUCGCCGGAGCAGCAACACCUCCCACGCGUGAACAUCCGCGGAUCCAGCGGCUAGCGCUCAGAUCCGAGGCCACCAUUGGUGUAUCGAUGCAGUACAUGGGCAGGGGCGACGUGUGGGGUCUGACAGCGAUUUCAGGCGGAUGUGGAUGAUGUAGCGUGCGAGGGUGGGGAUGCGGGCGUCACGGCGGCCGCGUCGGCUGUUGGAGGCGAUGGCGUGGGAAGAAGCCGUGGGCAGGGAGUAGGCUGGAGAUGGGCCACAACGGCGUCCUGACGGCUGUGCUGUCGGUGGUGGCGGAUGGCCGCGGCCGGAGAAGCUGUCGGGUGGCCGCGGCGGCCGGGGAAGCUGGCGGAUGGCCGCGGUGGCCGAAGAAGCUUGCCGGUGGUAGCUCGGUGGCUCCGUUGGAGCGGGAGAUUGGCGCCAGAAUUGGGGAUCGAGGCGGGUCGACAAUGGGCGGUCAUGGGUGUGAUUUCUUCUUUUUUUUCUGUGGGUUCAAGAGUUCGGGAACGACCGGAUCGCUCCUAUAUACGGCGCCGCAUGAUCAGAAUAACUAUUCUAUCUCAAAAUAGUGUUACUCUCUAUAUAUAUAUAUAGGAUAAAUUUUUCCUACUACCGGAUGUAGUUACACCCAUUUUUAUUUUGUAUGUUUUAGGUAGUAUCUACCAUACCGCAGUGUAUGUAUGCGUAGUAUGUAGUAUGUAAGAAUAUUUAGGUAGUAUGUAGUAUAUUUUUAGCAUACUUCUUUUUACAUACAAAUAUGUACGUAUUUUCACAAAUAUGAUAAAAACAUGGGCUCACAUGCAAUUUUUUCACAUAACUCGCUUUGGAGUAUCUUAGAUAUAGUAUAUGAACAUACUAAAAAUGAUAAAAUAGUAUAUAUACUACCACAUAGUAGUAUAUGAGAAAUGGAUGUAACUACACCCGGUAGUAGGAUGCAUUUUCCAUAUAUAUAUAUAUAUAGACGGUCUAUUCUGCUAAUAUUAGCAGAAUAACUAUUCUGCACACCACUUCCGCACUGCACGCUGAACGCAAGUGCACGUCAUUCUUCAAAACAAGUGUGCUGCAGUACUGGCACGAGUGAACUUCUCGUCGGAAAAAACUGCAAGCGUUAUUCUUUUAGUACUGUUUUCGCUCUAAUUUUUUAACCGUUUAUCGGAAUGAGGCGUGUAAUAUACCGUUGAAAAGCUAUGGAUGAUGCGCAACUUCGACAUGUUGCACACUUUUCGAGAUUCCACACAUUUUAAGAGCAGUUUUGAAAAUGGUGCGGCCCAUGACGAGUGGCAGCGAGCAUUUUUUUUGUGAUUUCUUAUAAACCGCUCAUCCGAAUGAAUCAAACGAUACGCCGUUGGAUAGAUAUCAUCGAGACACAUCUUUUUCAUAUAUAAAUGUUUCUUUAAUUCCUUACAGUUUAAGAGCAGUUUCAAAUUUACUAAAUUGCGGAAUUCUGUUUUUCAAAAAAAUUCAAAUUUUCGGUACUGUUUUCACUCCAAUUUUUGAACUGUUUGUCAAAACGAGGCGUGUGAUACGCCGUUGGAAAGAUAAGAACGAGGCGCAACUUUCAUAUGUUGAAAUAUUUUUGAAAUUCCUUACGGUUUUAAGAUAAUUUUGAAAAUUGUGCGGCGAACGACGAGUGGCAGCGGCCGUUUUUGGCAAAAAAUUUGCAAAACGCUGGUCGGAAUGAUUCAUACGAUACACCGUUGGAAAGAUAUCGAUGAUACGCAAUUUUUUCAUGUAGAACACUCUCUCUAAUUCUUUACGAUUUAAGAGGAAUUUCAAAUUUACCGAAAUGCGGACACUCUGUUUUUCGCGACACCCAAAUCGAUGUGGGUACUUCAUCCAACUGAAAACCGCACUGCAACAGACGAAAAACCGCACUGCAUCACAUGGGUAAGAGAACAGCUUGGUUUUUUUAUUCAAACGUAAUUUUUUCAAGAACGAUAAAGUAUAGUGCACUUCACAUCGGGUGUAAAUGAGCCACAACACUAUCAAGAAGUGAACCGCAUUACUUUUUUUUUGCUUUCGUAACAAUUUUUUUGCUCUUACGGGAUGAACAACAUCAUAUGGCCAACCGCACUGCUUCAGAAUGAAAACCGCACUUCAUCAGAUGGGCAAGCGAGCUGCAUAAUUUGUUUUGUCGGACGUUUUUUUCUCAUACACAAGUGAACAACAUCACUUUCAAAAGUGAACGACAUUCGAAGACCGAACGCACUGCAAGUGUUGAUGUAAUCGACUGAAUUCUAUGACACACGAAAACAUCUUUGCAACACUCUAUUUUUCGUGACACCAAAAUCGGCGAAGAAACUACAUCAAACAGGAAACCGCAAUGCUUCAGACUGAAAACCGCACUGCAUCAUACAGUCAGGUGAUCUUCAUGGGUUCUUUCGUUAUUUUUCUAACUUUUAUAUGAAACAUGAAACACCUUUGUGGGAUGAGUGCAGUGCACAUCAAAGGUAAAGUGAACCACAACACAAAUCAAAGUGAGAUGCACGACUUUUUUGUCAUUUUCAAACUACUUUUUUAUAAAUACUUUCGCACUGAAUUACCAGGCUAGGGUAAUGCAUUUUUUAAACGCAUUUUAUGAAGUUUGCAUGGUUGAGAGUAGUUAACUGCACUAUUAUUUUUCAUUUCUUCUUCUCACUUUUUUAUGAAUGCCAAACACACACACAUACAUACAUACAAAAAACCAACACUGUCGCUAGCCAAACUUUGAAAUUGAAAGCCCAUCACUCGUGAACCGCAGCUAUGGGGGAAAGCAAGCUGCUAUUGGGAAAGAAGAUAAGCACACACACCAUCGUAGUCGGUGAAUUUUCUAGGCUGCACGUGCACCCGCAAACGAACUGCACACAAAUAUAUUUUUUGGUCUGCACGAUAACAUGCAGAGAACUGAAUCAAAAUCUACGACACAACAGCCAACUGAAUUGCACUAGGCAGAGAACUACACCGAGUAGUUUAUCUUUUUACAUUUCUUAUUCCUGUUUUAUGUCCUCCCGCUAAAAACGACAAAACUGAAAUUGGUUAAUACGAACUACGGGGUCGAGAGCAAUGGAUUGCACUGGCUUUUUUACUACUACAAACUUUUUAUAGAGGGAAUAACUGUGAAUUUUAAAACUGAUACCGCGAUGAGGUGCCCUGGGCACACGACCAGGGCAACACUUGUUUUAAUCAUCCACAUCGACUUAUCAGAACUGCACAAGCGACACAAACGACAUGCCCAAUGCACCGCGCGCACCACCCCGGCGAACUGCACACAUGGUGGCACAGGAUGCGGCACUCGCGCGCGACAUGAUGCAGGCGAGCCUUCGCCGGCGUAUCUCCUGCAACAGAGAAGAUUUGGAGAGGUGGAUGAAAGGAAAAUGGGGAACAGGGGCGGUGGUCACCUGAGGAUCCCCACCGGCCAGUACUAGGAUUCCACCCACUACUGCACUGUCCCGUGUUACUUACUUCUUGCCCCCGUGGGUUGAGCUGCACGCGGCGCCCGUAGCGGCCGACGCUGAUAGCCGCGCCUGGACACAGACAAGACGAGAACAAGGGAAUGAGCAGGACUCCGGCCGUCACAGAUCCAGUUUCGGUGGCCGAUGGCGGUGGUUCCGGCCAAAUCUCGUGGAUCCGGCAGGGGGUGGUGAUGCCCGGUGCUCCCGUCCAGGAGAGGAAAUAGAGGGGAGGAGGGGGCCGUGGACCGGCGAGUCUGACGACAGAGGAGGUCGCAGGAUCGACGGAUCCGCCCAUGAUGGUUGGUAGAGGAGGCCGCGGGAGCCGCUCCUUCCCGUCUCUGACACGCGGGACCUCAUCGGCCCUGCCAUCCGGCCACCUCGCGUGGGAGGGCAUGGAUCCGUGAGGAGGGAGGGGCCGCGCUGCUCCCGUGCUGUUGAUGGUGGAACGCGGUGGCCGCGACCCGGAGCGGCGCGCGCAAAGGAAGGAAGGGGCUAUGGGGGAUCCGUCAACGGAGGGAGUUGGACGGGCGCUUGACCAGCACCGGCAUGGAAAGGUGGAGGGUAGGUGGGAGGGAGGGGGUCGGUGAUGGAGGGAGGCGUUGAUGGGAGAUGCGGGGGCGCACNNNNNNNNNNNNNNNNNNNNNNNNNNNNNNNNNNNNNNNNNNNNNNNNNNNNNNNNNNNNNNNNNNNNNNNNNNNNNNNNNNNNNNNNNNNNNNNNNNNNNNNNNNNNNNNNNNNNNNNNNNNNNNNNNNNNNNNNNNNNNNNNNNNNNNNNNNNNNNNNNNNNNNNNNNNNNNNNNNNNNNNNNNNNNNNNNNNNNNNNNNNNNNNNNNNNNNNNNNNNNNNNNNNNNNNNNNNNNNNNNNNNNNNNNNNNNNNNNNNNNNNNNNNNNNNNNNNNNNNNNNNNNNNNNNNNNNNNNNNNNNNNNNNNNNNNNNNNNNNNNNNNNNNNNNNNNNNNNNNNNNNNNNNNNNNNNNNNNNNNNNNNNNNNNNNNNNNNNNNNNNNNNNNNNNNNNNNNNNNNNNNNNNNNNNNNNNNNNNNNNNNNNNNNNNNNNNNNNNNNNNNNNNNNNNNNNNNNNNNNNNNNNNNNNNNNNNNNNNNNNNNNNNNNNNNNNNNNNNNNNNNNNNNNNNNNNNNNNNNNNNNNNNNNNNNNNNNNNNNNNNNNNNNNNNNNNNNNNNNNNNNNNNNNNNNNNNNNNNNNNNNNNNNNNNNNNNNNNNNNNNNNNNNNNNNNNNNNNNNNNNNNNNNNNNNNNNNNNNNNNNNNNNNNNNNNNNNNNNNNNNNNNNNNNNNNNNNNNNNNNNNNNNNNNNNNNNNNNNNNNNNNNNNNNNNNNNNNNNNNNNNNNNNNNNNNNNNNNNNNNNNNNNNNNNNNNNNNNNNNNNNNNNNNNNNNNNNNNNNNNNNNNNNNNNNNNNNNNNNNNNNNNNNNNNNNNNNNNNNNNNNNNNNNNNNNNNNNNNNNNNNNNNNNNNNNNNNNNNNNNNNNNNNNNNNNNNNNNNNNNNNNNNNNNNNNNNNNNNNNNNNNNNNNNNNNNNNNNNNNNNNNNNNNNNNUAUAUAUAUAUAUAUAUAUAUAUAUAUAUAUAUAUAUAUAUAUAUAUAUAUAUAUAUAUGCGAACCCUGUUUUCUUUGUUUUGUAUGUGUGGUUUCUGUGCGAACUACAUUGCUUCUAAUACCGAACUGCAUUGCUUUUUUAUUCAUGUAUGUGUUCCCGAAACUGUAUUGCUUAUGAUACCGCACUGCUUCGUCUAAGCAAAUGCACUGCAUUUUGCCAGAGCUGCGUACUGCAUCUGUUUUUGCGUGUAGUUGCUACUGUCCUUGGCAUGGGAGCGAGGGGGGUUGGGGGGCCCACAUUUUUUUGUGACACUUGUUUGAAAGGUAGACUUUGGGGUUGCGUGCAGUGUUUGGAUGGAAAAUAGAGUAACUACACUGCGCCUGUCAACCUAGCCCACUGCGUGCGUUAGGGCGAGGCUGAGCAGGGGGGAGACUGUGACCCCCCCUCCCCACCCCGUGAGAGGUUGAACCUGGAACAAUCCGGAGCAGGCGGCGAUGCGGCGUGCCGCGACGCCGCAUGCGGAGGCGAGUCCGUCACAACCCGUCGCCCCUGUCUAUCUUAGGGGUGUGGCUCUAGGGUUGCAUGCGUUGUUUGGAGGGAAAAUAGAAUAACCGCACUGCGCCUGUCAACCAAGCACACUGUAUGCGUUAGCGCGAGGCCGAGCAGGGGGGAGGGGGUCAUGACCCCCCCUCCCCACCUCCUGCGAGGCCGAGCCUGGAACGAGCCGGAGUAGGAGGCGACGCGGCGUGCCGCGGUGCCGCAUGCGGAGGCGAGUCCGUCACACCCCAUUGCCCCCUGUCUAUCUUAGGGGCGUGGCUCUCGGGUUACGUGUGUUGUUUGGAUGGAAAAUAGAAUAACUGCACUACGCUUGUCAACCUAGCGCACUGCAUGCGUUAGCGCGAGGCCGAGCAGGGGGGAGGGGGUCGUGACCCCUCUCGCCACCCGUACGAGGCCAAGCCUGGAACGAGCCGGAGCAGGCGGCGAUGCGGCAUGCCGAGGCGCCGCGUGCGGUGGCGAGUCCGUCACACCCUAUCGCCCUGUCUAUCUUAGGGGUGUGGCUCUAGGGUUGCAUGCGUUGUUUGGAUGAAAACAGAAUAACUGCACUGUGCCUGUCAACCAAGCGCACUACAUGCGUUAGCGCGAGGCUGAGCAGGGGGGAGGGGGGUCGUGACCCCCCUCCCCACCCCCUGCGAGGCCAAGCCUGGAAUGAGCCGAAGUAGGCGUCGCAUGCGGAGGUGAGUCCGUCACACCCCGUCGCCCCCCUGUCUAACUUAGGGGUGUGGCUCUGGGGUUGCUUGUGUUGUUUGGAUGGAAAACAGACCCCCUCCCCCCUGCUUGGUCGAGCCUGGAACGAGCCAGAGCAAGCAGCGACACAGCAUGCCGUGGCGCCGCAUGCGGAGGCGAGUCCGUCACACCCCGUCGCCCCCUGUCUAUCUUAGGGGUGUGGCUCUGGGGUUGCGUGCGUUGUUUGGAUGGAAAAUAGAAUAACCGCACUGCGCUUGUCAACCAAGCGGCACUGCGUGCGUUAGCACGAGGCCGAGCAGCGUACUGCAGUGCGUUCUUCUGGGAUCAAUUUUUUUAUCUUUCCUUAUUACAAGCAUUUUUUUCGUUUGGCACUACAUGUCUUCGUGGCAGUACAAAUUAUAUCAUUUGCACUGCUUGUACCAACAUUGCGCACUGCAGUACACGUAUUAAGUCUGUGAUUGUGCAUUGCAUGAAAGUGACUGCAGUCCCUCUUGUGCUUCAUUUAUGUAUGUACUACAGUUCUUGUACACACAUUCUGAACUUCCUGAUUCUAUUCUCUUGAACUGCAUUCCCAUUUGUUUAGAUUGUUGUGCGUGCUAUAAGUUUUCAGAAAUAUGAAUAUUAAUGAUUUUUCUUUAAUUACUAUUAUGGACUGCAUGUACACACUUGGCGUUCUGCUUAUAUUUACCAAUGUGCACUGCAUUCAUCUUUCUUUUUAUGUCAUGAGUUGCAGUCAGAGUGCUUAAUUUUUUUGUUGAACGUUGUUUAUGAAUCAGAUAUUGUUAUGUUUUGGUAUCACACAUCAUAUUUUUCAACCUUGUAUGUAUACUUGUUCUAAUACAUAGUCAACAAUCUUUACCUAGUGCAAUGACAUUGUUUUACAAGGAAACAUUCGAUAUGAAGCAACGUACAUAAGCAAAACCUAGCUGAUAGGAAACAAGGAACAACACAAGUACUAAAGUAAAAUGAAACUAAACAUAGCCCUGUUCAUUUCUAGUUGCUAUAUGGGAUUACAACGUUGCUCUUGUUCUCCGCUUGUUUUUCUCUUUUUGCCAUAUAUAGUCCCAUUAUCAUAUCGUAGAUGAUUCUCCAUGACUCGUAGGUUGCAAAUGCAUCUAUUGCUGCAUACGUGAUAAGCUUGUCUAGCAACGGGCAAAACCCCCACAGAGUAUGGUCCUCCUUGCGGUUGAUUUUGUUCUUCAUGUCAUGGUAGUGAAUGUCGAUCAGCCUGCUGGCAACAUCAGCCAAAGAGUCAAAUUCAUUUUUGUUGUAUGGGUCUCUCCAUUCCACCUGAAUAUCAAUGUAGUUGUUGGAGUUGAUCUCCAAGCCAGAUAGUUUUAGCUUGUUUUUUUUCUCCUUCAAUGGCGAAUCCGGCGAAGGUGUAUUCAUCAUUCAUGAGGAAUUUGUCAAGUUCCAUUGGCCUGCAAGAUGUUUGUAUGAACUGGAUAUAGUGAGACAGUACCAUUUAUUGUUGAGAACUACCAAUGUUAUUUUUAUUCUGAAACUGAAGUGCAAUAUGAAUCCCCUGAAUCUGUUGCAGUGAGUAGCUGUUAAUACUUUCUGCAUGUUUGUUGUCUUGAAUUAAAUUUCAUACAUGUUUUAAAUUGUUUGGACUAUGAUCUUUUUUACCUCCAAAUCCAUACAGGAUUGAAUGUAGGCAUUAGUGGAGUAGUUUUUUAUUGUUCAGGUAGAUAAUUUGUAUUUGUAAAACAACAUAAAACUAUGUGGAUUGCUAGAUCAUCUAAUUCAAGAAUUGAACAGAUGAGUAACAUGGAGCCAGAUGAAAACUGUCAAUGAAUUCCUAUGCCAUGCUUUUGAAAUUGACAACCAAAGUUUAUAUAAUGGAAAUUGCGAUGAAGAAUUUUUUAAAUCAAUAUUGACAAGCAAUAGUACAGAUUGAUAAUUAUUCUCACUUGUCUUUAGCAGCAGAGAUGUCGUAGACAAGGCAUUCUUUUUCUACGCAUAGCUGGAGCACUGCUGCCCGCUGUGGCUUCAUGUUGUGUGUGUGCUCAACAUCAACGCCGACUAGUUUUACGGGCAUUCCGCCGAGCUUCCUCCUGAGCGUGGAUAACAUCUUGUCCACGUCUUGACCCUUGCUUGUGAAAACGACGUGCAACUUGUGGUUGUUGUGGAGGUCGAUGUUGUGGAGCUACCUGGUGUACCUGCGGCGCUGCUUGUACAGAGGUGCAUCCGCCAUCGAUCUCCUUUGCUCUCUCGCGUUUGUUCAGGAGAGAGAGGUAGUGAAAGGAAGUGGGGAGAAGAAGAUGCAAUGGGUUUUGGGGGGAUGAAGCAGUUGUGUUUUCUCCUCUGCUCUCCUCUACUCUCUGUGAAAGGACGUGGGAGUGGUGGAGCGGGGUGGUAGCAUGGUGGAACUGUGUUUUCAGUUACGUGGCAACUAAAGUGAGGUUCUGCUAUGAGGAGGCUGUCUUCGUGCAUUGGAAAUCCGGAACGUCGUCGCCUCUUUUUUUGUGACAACUUCAGGAAUGCACGCAACUGUCAGAAAAUGUGAUGAUUGUGUUUUUGGUGAAUUUUCCUAUUAAGUGCACUUCUUUGGUACCUUGAUAGAACUGCCUAUGUCCACAACUUGUACUGCAUGGAAGUUAUUUUUAUUCUCUAUAUACUAUAUUAUAUCGGAUCAAGAUUCAUACAGAUGUAUGCACAUUACUUUUUUGAUGGAGUACUUUUUUAUUUUCUCUUUUUUAUAGGUGAUGGUAAUGCAACUUUUGUGUGUAUGGAGGGUAGUGUUUAAUAAGGGUACCAGACUGCUUUGCUUACCUAAAUGUGCUGCAUUCUUCAUUUUUAGCCCUACUACAAUAUAGCAGAAAGAGAAUUGCAUUUCAGAAGUAGCAAUACUUCAUGCUUCGACGUGACGAACUGCAUUGUUGUAGGUCGCGUACUGCAUUUGUACGUUUACUUCGAGCUUCCUGCAUUUUAUUUAUGAGAGCGAACUGUAGUUUCUGGCAGUGCCCACACACAUUUUUUUGGUUGUUAUUCAUUUAAAAAUGUUUCUUAUUUUUCUUCAAUCUUUUAUUUUUGUAGUUAUUGUUUUUUUAGUGGCCAUGUUAUUUGAACUACUCUAGUGUGUUGGGCCUGUGUUGUUAGAGGCCUGUGUUGUUAGAGGAGUGAAAAUGCAUUCGGCCCAAGUAGGCCUGCCAGCAUGGCUGACUCCCGGUGUGCUAUGCGUGGGCGGUAUUGUUUAGUCCCACCUCGCCCAUAGAGAGAACGCAUGACCUGUUUAUAAGCCCUGGCAAGGCAUCCGUCUCGAACUCCUCUGGUUACUUAUUUGGGCGCUUAUACACGGCACUCGCUGCUCUAUCCUCUCUGACCUGUGGGCCCAUGUGUGCCCGUCCCCAUGCAUCGUGGCUUAGAACGACUCGCCUACUAUGGGUGCAGACCUACUACGAGACUGGAUGGGGCCGGUUGCACUUGGGUGGUCAAUGUUUUUUAAUUUUUCCCUCUGACGUAUAUUUUUUAAAUGUAGGGGCAUGCACUACUUAAUAAACCAUCUUGCACUGCAUCCAUCUGGUUUGUGUACUGCAUGAGUACACAUUCCGCACUACACAUUUUUAUGUGCACUUCAUGCUGGUCGCAUUUUUCUUUAUAGUUUUUCCUCUUAUGUAUCCUUUUUCUAGUGUACGGGUAUGCACUACUUUGUUCGGUCUGUUGCACUGCAUUCGUCAGAGUCUUGUGCUGCAGGUGUACGCAUUUUGUACUGCGUGCAUCCUUUUUUGCGUCAAUGUUGUGACUGCUUGUACCAACGUUGCGGACUGUAUUUCUUGUAUUUACGGACUGCAUUACGCGCACUAAAUCUAUUCGUUUGUGCACUGCACGAAAGUGCAUCUCUUGUGCUUCAUUUUGAGCAUGUACUGCACUUCAUGCACACAUAUUUUGUGAACUGUCUGAUAUUACUUUGAAGAACUGCUAUCACUUUUAUUUAGAAUGGUCUGCGGAUUAUAAUUUUUUAGGAAUAUAAAUUUUUAAUUAUCUACGGUUAGUUUGUGGGAAGUAUUGAAGUCAAAGUACACCUUUUUUGGGUCCUUUUUCUUUGGUAACAUAAGCCUGCAUUGAUUGUCCUUCAUUCUUGGUAACAUAAUUUUCAUUAACUCUUGUUUAAUUUUCAGUUUUGACCUUUUUGUAUUCCUCUUCUAUAAAUGUAGGCCAACUUCUACCCUUCCUUUGCAGUUCAUUUCUCCUCUGGCCGCAACUUCUCUCCUUUCUCCAGCCUCUCUUUAUUUAUUUUCAUUUUCUAGGUUUUUGUUGUGAUGACUCCAGGCCCCUGCGUGAAUCUCUCCUGCUACGGUCAUGGUUAUGGUGUGCCGACGGACUGCGAUGGCUCAGCUUGUUCCCAGGCCCAUCGUGCUCGCCAGGGCGGCAAGGUCUUGUGCCGAGUUGGGAGAGCAGAGCAGCUUGCAUAUGGCACAGUAUUCACGGGAGGAUUGGAUAUGGGCUACAUCAACGCUGUUGUGUUCUAUUCCACCCUGCUUCGACAUGGCCUUGGCCGCACAAGUCCUUUUGUCUAUCAGCUUACGCCAACAGACGUGGAGACUCACUACAAGAUGGUAUUUUUCGUUAGAUAUGAUUUUUUUUCUUUGUGUUUUCUACUUUUUUUGGUUUCCAUUCUAUUCUGAACUUCUAGUAUGUUAGGAACACACUUUUUUUUGAAGUGUACUGCACUGUGUUCUUAUUUCUUGUUUUUAUUUUUUUGCUUGUGUGCAUGGAGCUUGUGUUUAGUUUGCAUGGUUACAGUAUGUGAACUACUUAUAUAUUAGCUGAGCACUACAUGUUUCCACAAUUUUACCCAAUUUGUACGGUGUGUACUACAUGCAGCUAGUCUCGAGAACUGCAUGAUAGUUCAAAGCGUACUACAUAUUUGCAAGUUCUGUACUGCAUAUUAAAUUGUGUUUUAUCUGUACUGCUUGUUGGACUAUUGUGCACUUCAUCUAGCUCGUGUCUGUACUGUGUGUAGGUUUUUACUGCUCUGUGCACAGUAUGAGAAUUGUACUGCUAGUAUCGUUCUCAAACAGUUUUAUUAUUUUUUUUGCAGAAAAUCCCCCAACGAGCUGUUAGGUAUCUCCGGCUGAAGAAGAAGGGAAUUCUCCAAGUUGUUCUUGGCAAUGGACACCUAAAACCAGCCAAGUACCAUGUAGGCGUUGAUGGGCGGCUGUAUCUGCAGAAAGGCUGGAAGGAAUUUGUCAUUGAAAGUGACCUGAAGUCUGAGCAAGUUGUUUUCCUCAACUUCUUUGAACUCGAGGAUCGUACGGUUAGAAUCACAUUUGACAUGAUUGGUUAAGGUUUAUGAGGUUAAUUGUAAUAAGUACUUUUGCGUAUCGAAUGCUUCAACUUUUCAUGUGUUUUCUAAUAAAUACUUUUGCGAUCUGAACCGCUUGAAUUAUAAGUCAGAACUUCGUGCUGCUUGUGAGCUAACUGCAUUUUUUAUGGGUUGUGAAUCAAAAUGUGUCAAUGUUUACUCUAUACAUCAUUUAUCUCAAUAUGGUUUAGCCUAUGCAUCAUUUCUCUCAAUAUGCUUUAGUUAAAGAACUCAUAGUCAGUGGGAGAUUUGUGUUUACACAAAAUUUAAACUGAUACAUAAGUCGUACAGAUAUGCAAACUGCUAUGUAUAUUAGUGAUUCAUUGAACUUCAUCUAUUUGGUCGUUAAUUUGCUGCUUCUUCGCGGUGACUGGAGUGUGUCUAAUGUCGCACUUUCUUUGGUUUUCCGUGGCGGUGUUGCUGGUUCUUGUCUUUGCACCAUUGUGUUUGUAGUCCCUCGCGUGCUUGUUGAUGGCGGCUUUUGUUUUCCAGCACUGUGAACUGCAUCCUUCUUUGCUCCUCGCGUAUUGGUUGAUGGCGUCUUUUGUUUUCCAACGCUAUGAACUACAUCCUUCUUUGCUCCUCGCGUGCUGGUUGAUGGCGGCUUUUGUUUUCCAACGCUGUGAAUUGCAUGCUUUCGUCCUCCUACCUGUUUUUUUGUAUGUGGUGUUGUUCUCGGUUGUUUCUGUACAGCAACAUUCCCUUGUGUUUUUUAUCUUUUGUUUGGUGGUCUUGUGGGCAUUGUUUCAUCGUGUUCUUCGUCAUCUUCACUCUCUUCUCCCUCUUCUUCUCUCCUUCAUCUGCUUCUUCACAACCCUCUCUUUCUUCAGUUUCUCCACGUUCUUCGUCCUCUUCACUCUCUUCUUCUUCCUCCUGUUCUUCAUUUGCUUCUUCAUAAGCCAUUUCUUCUUCAGUUGUGUCACCAUCUUCUUCUGUGAUUUCAUCUUCUUCGUCUUCCUCGUUUUUUGAUCUUGUUAUUUUGGGCCAGGUUCUUGAAUUGUGUCUCUUCCUCUUUUUGCAGAUGCUGCAACAUCUCGGUUCCAUCCAUUUCUUAAUGUUGUGACUAGAAUUUCUGUUUGGUUGUGCAUCGCCAUGUUCUCAGUUUUCUUGUUCAUGUCUUUUUUUGUACAUGUCCUCGAAUUGUGGCCGCUGAUUUCGUUACAUGUCUUACACCUUCUUAUUCCUAGUGGGUGACCAUCACUGUCCAGCUCAGGCUGUGGCUUACUGUUUUUGUCAUCAUUUUUCUCCUUGCAUGCAACCUUUUUCUGGGUUGCGUCGCCCCCUUUCUUCCUUCCUCUUGUGUUUGAAACGGGAGACAGAAGAAUUGUUUCUUUUUUGAUAGCACCAGUUGCAUUGUGUUCUGUAUUUUUCUACUAGCUCGACAUUAUUGUCAUGUUGGGAUUUCUCUGCUUGCUUUAGUUUUGCUUCUUCUUCUUCUUCUUCUUCUUUGUUGAGCACAUCAACUUCCUUGAUCAGUGCCCUCAUACCAGACAACGCUUUGUGGCACUUAGCGUCGGACCUUGUCGCUCUGUUUCCAAGGUCCAUUGCUGUUUCUGUCAGCAAUUUCCUACGGCAAAAAAGUGAGCUUCCAUCUGGUGUUGUUUGUCCAUAGUCUCUUCCGUCAAAAGUUGCAUUUGAUCUUGCGUUCUGGGUGUAUCUUUUCAUGAUGUACACCUCAGGAAUCUUGAGUACUCUUGGAUGAGAAAUCAUGCAUAACACAUGGACGCAAAAGAGCCCUACAGAUAACACAUUUUUUCUUUGUUUUGUAAGUGAACUGCAUGAAAUUAAUAAACACUUUUGUUGUUGUUAUUAUUUGUUAAUUCUUAAUGAAGUGAACUUCACUUGGUCUUGUGAAGUACUCAUGCAUGUGUAAUUUUAUAGUUCAGUAGGUGAGGUUUCAUGCAUGACUACCAGAAAUUAGGAUAUUUUUUUGUUAGCGAGUCGCACCUGUGUGUGUCCAGAGCUUGCACUCACAUUCAUAGACACCUUUCUGUUCGCUGGCGACCACUUGGAAAUUAUGCCUUGCCCGGUCAAAUGAAUCCGUUCUGUUGUAGUGGUGUACAAGGUACUUUGUCGGGUUCUCAGGGCACCGUUCUGCUCUGAAUGCGGUGCUGCGGUAGAGUGUUUCUUUGAAAUCCGCAAAAACUGCUCCUGUAUACACUUUUGAUAGCUGAACUUCGAACCAAAACUGGGUUGUUGUCUUUACCUCCGACUGCAUGAUCAAAAAUGCAGCGUUACGAAUAAGAGAAAUGAAAAUUUUGUUAGUUUUUGUAGUUAUAUUUAGCAGUUUUUGAUGGACAUUUUUAUUUACCUCAUUUGCUACUGUCUCUGCGUGCUCGACGACCUUCCUGGUCUGAAUGCACUUGUCCACCUGUUGAGCAAACAGAUGGAGAUCAUGCUUCUCUUUGACUAAGUUUUUCUUCAAUAUGCGGUUCAUGCUCUUGCUUCUCUGUGUGGAAGUCAUCCGAGAACAGAAAAUUUCCUUGUAGUAAGCUGAGAUCCACUCGUGCCUGUAAUCCCACAGCGAAUUCAUCACUUCGUCGUUUUGCAAGUUGUAAUUCUGAAUGAGGACCUUCCAUGCCCGUUCAAAUUCUGACGGCAUUAGUGGGUGGUUCAGCACCGCAUUGAGUUCAUCCUUUAGUUUCUCGUGCGCCUUAUGCAGCAAGGCGAGGUAGUCUUUGUACUUCUUCAUGAUAUACCACCGACACAACUUAUUAAUGUAUCUGGGAGGAUAGUUUUUAAUGAUGCCUUCAUCAAAGAACAUUGGUCUGAAAAGGCACAAAUAGUGUUUUUUCAUUAAGUUGUUUUGUGUGUAAGAAAGACAGAAGAAAUAGAAUUGUACAAAACAAACGUAAGUAUAUAGGUGUUUUUUUGUACCUGCGAGUAUGCAGAUUGGCGGCUUGUUGUUCAUACAGCUGAGGAAUGUCUUGAAAACCUACUGGAAUGACGGUAUUGUUUCAUCUCGCACAAGGGCGACAACAAAUAUGGUACUCUGUAGAUGGUGGUUCACUCCCACGAAGACUCCAAGUGGCAUGUGGAAUUUGUUAGUUUUAUAUGUCGUGUCAAAUGUAACGCAGUCUCCAAAAUCUUCAUACGGUCCUUUGCAACUUGCGUUGGCCCAAAAGACGUUUCUUACACGGUUAUCUGCAUCAACGUCUUAAUCUUAGAAGAACUCUGGGUUUAUCUUUUGCAUCUUCUCAAAGAAAUCCAGAAGUUUCUUGACGUCAUCUUUCGACUCUUCUCUGGCAAACUUUUGUUUCCUGCAUUUCAAAUGCAAUGCAAACUCAACUCAUCAAACAAGAAAUAUUUACCGACAGAAUGCUCAAGCGAUAUGGUCUGUGACGUGCUUACUUGUUGACCCAGUCACGGCUAGUAUGUCACAUAUACUGCAGACCACCGGACAUACACGACAACAUUGACAUCAUCUGCGCGUGUGUGUGGUUGUCUAGCUGCAUGUCCUUCACCAACUGGUCAAUCAAAGGAUCCUCUCUUUUGUGCAAGCGCAUGUGCAGAAGCAUCCCGGGGCUUUCCAGCAUCUUGUGAUUGUGAUUUAGUUCAACCAUGUCUAUCACAAAUUUGCCAUCCUUCCUCUUUUUGACUCUUAUUUUUGCCUUGCAGCCAAUCCUUUUUGAUGUCUUCUCACAUUUCCGGUCAUAAUCUGACACAGUCUGCUUGUGCGCCCCUUCUCUUAAGCAGACAAUGUAGGCAUUUGUCUUGUAUUUUGCCCUGUUGCGUAUGCCAAACCCUGCAUAUCUUGCAUAUGUGUUGUAAAAGUCCCAUGCUUUGUCGUACGUGGUGAACUUCAUUCCAGCGGCAGGUAUGAGGUUCAGCGGCAUGUUUUUAUCCUGCAUCAAGUGCAGUGCUCUAUGAGAUAAAGUGUUAUGUUCUAUUUAAAUAUGAGGAGUGCAUACGAGUUUAAUAAAGCACUGCAAUGUUCCUAAGUUUCCAGAAGAAUCGGCUAUAUUAGAUGUUAGGCCAAACCUCACAAGAAAUAUUAGUGUCCACUUCAAUGUUAUCUGAAUAUACUGCAAAUAUUAUUUUCAGGACAUAAAUUUACAUGCGUGUAAUAUCGUUCAUCUGAUGGCGUUUGCAGCUAGCCAGGUUGUAUUGGAUAUGGCGGGGUUAUAGCAGAUCUGUGUAGUUGAGGAUCUCGCAGCGGCAAUAGUGAGGAGGAUUUGUACCUGCCGUCGACUUUUGACCGAGAAGCCCUUGGUGGUUGCAUUGUCAAAGUUGAUGCAGCAGGUCUUCUUGGAGCUCUGUUUUUCGGUGCGGCAGGUGGACAGUGAGCUCUGUUUUGUGGUGCAGCAGGUGGACACGGUGGUAAUCCUGUCACACCCUGCAUUUUGUAAAAUAUCAUUUGCAUUAUUAAAGCAUGAAAAUUUGGACCAACAAUUUUUUUGCAUUAUUUGGCUUUUAUUUGGAGUUGGUUUUCUCUCUGUGAUUUUUUAAGUGCUCUUUAAAGUCAACACAACUCCACCCUAUAUACUUCAUCUCCUUGCCCCAAACUUCUGCCCAAUGAUCAUGCCAUGUGUAUAGUGCAAUAUAAUAUUUUCAUACAAAAAUAAUUUGGCCAAAUAGUAUUUUCAAAAAUUAGUCUUUCCAAAAACCCCUAAAUUGAGGUUUGCACUGCAAGUACUUGAUUUGGGAUAUGAAAAAUAUUUCAAAGUGUAUAUUUGAAACCUAUUAGAUAUAGGACUCCCAUGAACCACAAAAAUAUAAUUUUUAAAACUUAUUUUCCUAUUUUAUUUAAAAGCUUCUUCUUAAGGCCAGAAAUGGUCUUUAAUAGGGAAAAAUUAUUUUAUUGUUUCAAAAAUAUUUGACAAAAAUCAGGAAAACUCAGUGGACAUAUAUUAUCCAUAUAUAAGAGUUUCAACACAUGGUCAUGUUAAAAAUAUUGGACAAAACCUCCCAAAACCAUUUCUGCCCAUUUCAAGGAUUUGAAAUAUUUCUACAGGAAAUAUUUUCAUAAAAAUCCAAGGAAAAUCCAGCAAGUCACAAAUGAAUAUUGUGAUCACCUUGCAAAGACUCAUGUCAAUUAAAGUCUUUUUGGUUCACCAAAAUGCCCCAAAACCCUCUCUGACCAGAACCAAAUUUGAACAACUUUGUACUACCAACUUUCUCUCCUUGACCCCAACUUUUGUGAACAUGAUCACCUGAAUAAAUGAGGCCACCACACCAAGUGGUGCAUCAAGGAGAAGUGAUUUGCUCAACUAGAUCUGCACAAGUUCAUUGCUGCCAAUUUCUAGGGUUUACAAAAGUUGCAUUGGCAACUUUGCCCAAAUGAGCUCAAAAUGGGUGAAAGGCCCUAAUUAUAUGUGCCAUUUAACCCUGUGGAGUCACAUGACAAAUGGGAAUCAUCUACUUGCCCAAACCAGCAUCAAACACCUUCUGCCACUUUACCAGAAUCCCUUUUUUGGCCUCUCCCACUAAUCUCCAUGAGCCUGCUUUUUAUCACAACCCCUCCUAGUUCCCCUCUAUCACCUGGAUGCUUUCCUGCCCGAGGAAGCAAUGAUGAAGGGAGGGGGAACCCCAUUUUUCUUCUAUGGACAACAGAUUCCUCCCUCUCUCUCAACCUCCUUCUCUCCCCUUAGCUUUCCAAAGCAUCCAAGGCUCUCUCCAGCUUUUGCCCAUGCCCCCUCCAGUUGCCAGACACAAGUGGACGCGCGCGGACGCGGGAAAACCGCGGAUGCCGGCCAAAGUCGCGCUCUGGAGCGCCUGGCAGGGCACCCGACCGUUGACGCCGCGUCCCCCGACCACCUCGAGCCUCCCCCGCGCGCCAGUCGAUGCCCCUCGAUGUCCGCUCCACGCCAGCAGGCUGUCCACUUGCUCCCGCGCCCUCCUCUCUCUCCUGCAGCUCGCGCCAGAGCGCCGCCCUGAUCGGCCAAUGCUCGCGCCGCUCCUAUGGCCCGCCCGCGGCUCGUCCCGCUCCUCUUCCCUCUCCCUAGCACCCUAGACCACCCCCACGAACACCCCCGAGCCCUCCAUUCCCUCUCUAACGGCCACCCGAGCCGAUCCCGCGGGCACCGUAGGCCACGCCUACGGUGGACCUCGGCCAGCCUAUAUAAGGUGACCCCGAGCCCCUCUCUCACUCCCUGUCGCUCCCCCACUCCUAAUCAACCUCCCGCACCCCCCAUUCACCUCGAGAGCCGCCCGAGCUCGACAUCGAGCUCGAGCCCCGCCGCCUCGGCUCGUCGGCGUUCGCGCGGUACAUGCCUCCUCCACCCCCAUUUUCUCUCGAUCUGGAACCGCGCGGCAACGCUGGCCCUUUCCCCUCUCUUCGCCACUCUUUUUGCAGCCGGGAACAUUCGGAACCAACGACGCCCGAAGCACCUCCACCGUGUGACCUCGUCACCGGUCACCAGGCUGCUCCGGUGACCAUCUCCACCACCACCCGAACGUCGACACCUCCCCGAGUCCAACGGUACCACCCACGCAUCCCCUCGUGCCCUAUAUCACCGCGGGCGAGCUCGCCGUCGCCUCUGGACGAAGGUAGACAACGACGAUCGUGGGCCCUGCCCGUCAGCCUCACGCCCUGAUGGGUGGGACCCACCUGUCAGGUUUAAAAACACAUGCGCGCGCACCGGUUCGCCCGUCGGCUGAAGGCGUACUCCGCCUUUACGCCUUCGACGUGGCGGCCUUGCGUGGGCCGAUUUCCCCCUGGGCCUGCUGCACUGUGGCCUUUCUGGCCCAGUGGCACAAUGCCAUUUUUCCUUUUUCUUUUCGGUCAAACUUACAAAAAUUCCUCUGGACUAAAUAUUAAUCCAAAUGAAAUAAUUCCAGUUCCUAAAUUCUUGUAAAAAACCACCUUUUUAAUGGUGCAACUUUCAUUCAAAUCCAACAACCUUUUCUUCACUGUAAAUAUUUAAAUGUGAUUUUAAGCAUUUAAAUAUACCUUUGUAAAUCCAUUUCUCCUGUUAUGCCACUCAAAAUCCAAAACUAAGAAUUUUUCUCUUCUUAGUUUUCACCCCUAGUAUUUUACAAAAAUAAGUUGACAUUUUUUUGAGCACUUUGACUUUUCUGCUUUAUUAUUGUCUUAUUUUUCCGUUAUUUUCUUGCGACGUUUAGAUCCCGUAUUUGACAAAGUAGCUGAAGAAGAAGGAGGAGAAGGAUUUGAAGACCUCGAAGAACAAGCCAAUCAAGGCAAGCAGCCCUUUGACCAUGUCUAUGGAACCCUUUUUAUGCAUGUCAUAUAGCACCAUAUUGUUGUUGCAACGGAAUCAUGAUGAGGUGGUAACCACUUUAAUGGUUUGCCACCGUUCUUCCUCGUUGAUACUUGCAUUGUGCAUGACCCUACCUUCUUAUGAGGGUUAUGCCGGUGGGAGUAGAUAGGAUGCUAAAGUAGUUGUUACGCAAAAGGGGCGGGAAUAUGCAUGGUGAUGGAGACAAAGUAUUUUCAAAAGACUUAUCGAAAAUCCCAUCGGGUGCCACUUAUGCCCGGGGGGAGAUGAUGAGUUGGGUAGCCACUUGAUGACGGAGUGGUGUACCGAGGCAAGUGUGUGUUGUUUUCAAAACGGAUUGGUUUAAGUUGCGACUGUUAUUCCAACCUUACAUGUGCAACCACUCUACCCUUGUAUGGGAAAGGGCAUUAUUGAUUACCUAGGCCGAUACUAGCUUGGAGCCCGCAUUACUAGUGACGGGGUAGAGUUGGUGCUCUCUCUCGGGACGGGGUCGUGCCAGGUAGGGCGGCCAUGACUGUUUUCACAGGGCACCGGAUACACCGUUGUGUCCCCUCUCGGGUGUUACGAUCUCGAGUGAGUCUCGUAUGAUGUACAUCAUGAGGGUAUGGAACAAUGAGGGGACUCCUUGUUAGUGUCGUCUAGGGAAAGGUAGUGAUCGGGUGCUUACCUCGGGUACUUGAGGUAUCGCGGGUCGUGAAUGACACGGAAGUUCCCUGGAUCUUGUGGGUAAAGUGUGCAACCUCUGCAGAGUGUAAAACUAUUCGAAUAGCCGUGUCCACGGUCAAGGACAGUUGGGUAACCGCUCUUGGGCUACGUCCACAUGUUUACAAACCAGUGUGUGUUUGGAUAAGUGGGAAGGUCUACUUGGGUCAAGUCAAAGGACUUGACAUGAUUGAGUUGGGUUGAUGCCCAUUCUAUUUAUGUUGAUAUCUGUAACAUGUCCUCAUGGUUACUUGAAUCCUCCGGAUGCAUGUCUUACAAGUUGUUGAACAUGUCAUUGCACUCAAAACUAGCUUUCUGCAAAAAUUUACCUAUAUCAUGCAUUGUUUCAUCUUGGACCAAAACAUGGGUUGCUUGCGAGUACAUUCAAAGUACUCAUUGGCUUGCCACUGGUUAUUUAAUUGGCCAGGCAUGGAAGAACAGGAGUUCGAAGAAGAGUUCUUUGGAGACGAACAUGCGAACUAGGACGUUUCCCAGUCAGAAUGCCUGUAGGGUUAAGGCAGAUGGCAUGGGUUCUACUUAUCGACGAAGAUUUCCGCUGCUUAAGUUUAUUUGGUAUUCAGCCCUUGUGGCUUAUCUAUGUAAGACUUGACCAUAAUGGUCAUAAUUUGUGUAAGACGGUAUGUAUGGAUGUAAGACUCUUGUUAUUCAUCUUCUGUGUGUUCAGUGAGCAUUGAUCUCUGGGAUCACUGUACAUGUGCAUUCGGUGAUGUCGACUUAUGGUUCGGGGUCCCCACAAAUCCAGUGUUGUGUUGAUCUCUCACUGGAUUGGUUUGAAAAUUUGGAGCGGCAGCACACCAUCAUAAUCAUCAUCUGCUGCAACAUCAUGUUCCACUGCAUCAUCAUUGUCUGUUCGGACAUGAUGUCCAAAUGUAGUGAACUCGUGCUUGUACUCUGGUUUGAGAAGUGUUAUUGGCUUAUCUUCAUCGUCAUCAUCUUCAUCAUCCCGUCGGUGAGUGCACUCCCACACGAAGGUGACAUCAUCGUCAUCUUCGACUACCUCUUCUUACCUGGAAAAAACCUCUUCCAGAAAGUAUUGCACCCUGUUUGUUGUAGUGUAGAAUCCUCAAGGAAUCUCAGGUGUAACCCAGCCAGUGUCUCUUUCAGAAGAAGUUUUACUCUUCUGAAAGUUGUUGUUCCCAGGGUUGUCAAUUAUGCAUGGCAUUUUGUAUCUGUUGAACAUCAUUUCCUGCACAAAAUGGUUGAGCUGCAUCGUCAGGUUAAAUGAACUGAAUCAUCCGAACUGCAAUGUGUUCGAAAUAGUACUGCAAACAAAUGCACGCUGACUGCAUAACCCCGCAAGGUGAACUGAAGUAACCGCACUGCAUCAUUGUCCAUAAUGAACCUAUACAACCGUAUUGCAUGUCCCAGCAAGCGUACUGCAAUACCGAGAAACUGCACUGCAUUUUUUUUCACGGCGAACUGAAGUAACCACACUACAUCGUUUUUGGAGGCGUACUGUACUCCUUUGUCUCGAAUAAGCAAAUUGAGAUAGUUGAGGAAGUGUACUGCUUACCUCAUGUUGCAAUGCUUCCUUGCAUUUGCAGGAAGAAGUUCCCUUCUCAUCCGCCUGCAGAACUUUUGCAUUCACCCGUGUAGUCCACUUGCCCUUCAGAAGUUCAUGGGCGGUAUUGACGUUGCUCAAGGUGAGUGGUGACGGAGGAUUUGCUCUUAAGGUGGUUGCAGCCUUAAUCCAAGAAGAUGUAGUGGAUGAAUGAAACUUGCGCACGGUCCUCCUUGCUCGAAUUGGUGCAAUGUCGAGGCAGCACCAAUCCACAUCUGAUGAAGUGCAGUUAAUUGAAGAUUCUCUCCUCAAUGUUGUGGUACUUGAAGGCCCGGAGGAGAUCUGCGGUGGCGCUCCCUGGCCGCUACCGCGGUAGAAGGCCGAGAGGGGAGGGGCGGCGGCGCCCCCUGGCUGCUGCCACAGAAGAAGGCCGGGAGGGGAGGGGUGUCGGCGCUCCCUGGCGGCUGCCGCGGGAGAAAGCGGGAAGGGGAGGGGCGGCAUCGGUCCUAGGCCGCUGCCGCAGAGAAGGCCGGGAGGGGAGGGGCGGCGGCGCUCCCUGGCCGCUGCCGCGGUAGAAGGCCAGGAGGGGAGGGGCGGUGGCGCUCCCUGGCCGCUGCCGCGGUAGAAGGCGGGCAGAAGAGGGGCGGCAGUGCUCUGGUGGGGAUGUGCAGAAUAAGCCAGGUGUUAUUUGAAUAAGGUCUUAAGGGGGUGUUAUCAUAAUAGACCAUAUGUAUGUAUGUAUGUAUGUAUAUAUAUAGGGUGGGUCUAUUAUGAUAACACCCUUAAGACUCUUAUUCUGCACACCGAAACGUCUUAUUCUGAUAACACCUCUAUACUCCGACAACCACUGGCAUGCCCCACUACCCACCACUCCCCACGAGCCUGAGGGCCACAACCUCCCUCCCCUUACGCAUCGGUGCCCCGCACCACCACCACCUACCCCAAGCCCGGCCGCCCACCACCACUCCCAUAGCCGGCGGCCACCGCGGCGCCCCACCCCACCACCACCACCAGAACCCCGCCCUUCUCCCACCCCACCCCGCGCACCACCAGCCUCCCCCUGCUCUGCCUUCUAAUCCCACGCACCGCUUCCAGACCCCUCUCCUGCAGCUAGACCGCCCCAAAGGAUCUGCCACGGCCACCAGCAGCCACGGAUCUGUCGGCCGCGAGCACCCAAUCGGCGACCAGAGCCUUGCNNNNNNNNNNNNNNNNNNNNNNNNNNNNNNNNNNNNNNNNNNNNNNNNNNNNNNNNNNNNNNNNNNNNNNNNNNNNNNNNNNNNNNNNNNNNNNNNNNNNNNNNNNNNNNNNNNNNNNNNNNNNNNNNNNNNNNNNNNNNNNNNNNNNNNNNNNNNNNNNNNNNNNNNNNNNNNNNNNNNNNNNNNNNNNNNNNNNNNNNNNNNNNNNNNNNNNNNNNNNNNNNNNNNNNNNNNNNNNNNNNNNNNNNNNNNNNNNNNNNNNNNNNNNNNNNNNNNNNNNNNNNNNNNNNNNNNNNNNNNNNNNNNNNNNNNNNNNNNNNNNNNNNNNNNNNNNNNNNNNNNNNNNNNNNNNNNNNNNNNNNNNNNAUGCGCUGCCAUCUGGCUUGCCGGUGCAUGGCAUUCAGCCGAGCUGCCGCCCUCCCCUGUGGUGGACGGAUCCGGCAUGAUCCCAGUCAUCGUGAUGGAUGCUCACCGGCCAAUUUCUUGUCACGGCGGCCAUCCCUGAGACCCAACGCCCAACGCCCGCCUUCCUAUGGUGCCUGGAGAGGCCCUCGUGGCAGCCCGCCUUCCACCACCGGCCUCCGUGCCAUUCACGAGGUGAAGCCACCUCCCAGUUUGCAGGGGUGUGCGCGUGCAGCAUGACAGGCGUGAUGGUGCAGUCCGGCAGGGUAGCUCAUGCAGUGCUCACACGCCACAGCAACACCACCUCCGCCCCCACACGGUGGGGUACUAUCGUGCAGUUCGCCCCAUCCUCUGGAUCCGCGGCCAUGGGCGUCGUCCUCGUCGUCAGCAAAGGACGAGGGAGGCAACAGAAGUCUGAAUCGUUGGUAAGAAUCGGCUAAGCUCUCUGCGAUUUCUAUUUUGUUAGUCUUCCUUCCGUGCUCAGGUGUCAGUUCUAGCUAUGAUGUGCGUUGAUUUCUGUUUGACUGGCUUUCCCGCAGAUGAGGGGGAUGGAUUUAUGAUUUGUACUAUGGUCAUCUAACCAUGUCUCCAAUUUCUGUUUGGUUGGCUUUGAUCAGGAGGAAGGAUUUGGAGGCAUGGAGCCUGCAGCCGACCGUCAAGGCCGGGCUGCUGGCUAAAUGCCGAACAAGCCACCCGGGAGGAGCUCCUCGAGUCCGACAUGUCGGACACACUCGCGGUGAGCUAUCCAUCCCUCACGUUUCCGCCUCUGAAGGUUUGCAGCUGCUCGUGGCACGAGGAAGAAAGGCCUAUCUGCCUUUGGAACUCUAUCGCCAGACCACCCCGUCGCAGCUUUGUUCUCCCCAACAUGUACUUCACCCUGUCGUAGCUCGCGGCUCCCUCCUCCAACUGCAGUUCAUUUGAUUUUAGUGUUGAAGCUCACUGAAUCUUGUUUUGUAGUUCGCUGGGGGGUGGUUUGCCGUUUGCACAGCUCGGGUCGGGCUGUCCGCAGCAUGUGGAGUCGCGAGCAUGGGCGUGCAGUGCGACACGUCGGUGCGUGCAGUGCAGCGUGUGGGUGUGUGUAGUGCUCAAUGAUGGUUGUGGAGCACCAGGGGACGAGCACCACGUCCCCACCCCCUGUGUUGAUGGCCAAAGUCGAAGGAACCCCUGUGCACUACGGUGCUAGUUGUUCUUCUUCUACGGGUCAAACGAGCUAAGAAAAGUUGGGGUCAACACCACUCUUCCGCAUGCAGUGCACUUCACCUCAUGAGUGGUUGCAGUUUAGAGCGUGUGUGCGAGCAGAGGAGGACAUGUGCUUGCAGUUGAAAGCGUGUGUGCGUGCAAUGCGCCCGUUUUGGUUGACUUAUUCAUUUUUCGAUGGGGUUCACUUUGUUUGUAGCAGCUCACUACCCCUUUGUAUGAAGUGCAAUUUAUUUCAUGUGUUCCAAAACUCACUUGGCUAAACUCAACACCUGCAGUGCGUUUGGUCCUCGGAUGUGGUUCACUUUUGAGAGUGAUGCUGUUCACUUGCGUAUGAGAAAAAAAACGUUCGACAAAACAAAUUAUGCAGCUCACUAGCCCAUCCGAUGCAGUGCGGUUUUCAUUUAGAAGCAGUGUGGUCGGCCGUAUGAUGUUGUUCAUCCCGUAAGUGCAAAAAAAUUGUUACGAAAGCGAAAAAAAGUAAUGCGGUUCACUUUUUGGUACUGUUGUGGUUCAUUUACACCUGAUGUGAAGUGCACUCUACUUUCUCGUUCUUGAAAAAAAUCACGUUUGAAUAAAAGAAAUCAUGCAGUUCUCUUAACCGUGUGAUGCAGUGCGGUUUUUCGUCUGUUGCAGUGUGGUUUUCAGUCGGAUGAAGUACCCACGUCGAUUUGGGUGUCGCGAAAAACAGAGUGUCCGCAUUUCGGUAAAUUCGAAAUUCCUCUUAAACCAUAAAGAAUUAGAGAGAGUGUUAUACAUGAAAGAGUUGCGUAUCGUCGAUAUCUUUCCAACAGCGUAUCGUUUGAAUCAUUCCGACCAGCGGUUUGUAAAAAUUUCGCCAAAAACGGCCGCUGCCACUCGUCGUCCGCCGCACGACUUUCAAAAUUAACUUAAAACCGUAAGGAAUCCGAAAAAUAUUUCAACAUAUGAAAGUUGCGCCUCGUUUGUAGAUUUCCAACGGCGUAUCACACGCCUCGUUUUGACAAACGGUUCAAAAACUGAAGCGAAAACAAUAUCGAAAAUUUUAAAAAACUUGAAAAACAGAAUUCCGUGAUUUAGUAAAUUUGAAACUGCUCUUAAACCGUAAGGAAUUAGAGAAAGAUUUAUAUAUAAAAAAGAUGCGCCUCGACGAUAUCUAUCCAAUGGCAUAUCGUUUGCUUCAUUCCGACGAGUGGUUUAGAAGAAAUCACGAAAAAAACACUCGCUGCCACUCGUCAUCCGCCGCACCAUUUUCAAAACUGCUCUUAAACCGUGUGGAAUCUCGAAAAGUGUUCAACAUGUCGAAGUUGCGCCUAAUCCAUAUCUUUUCAACGUUAUAUUACACGCCUCAUUCCGAUAAACGGUUAAAAAAUUAGAGCGAAAACAGUACCGAAAAAAUAACGCGUGCAGUUUUUUUCGACGAGAAGUUCACUCGUGUGAGUACUGCAGCACACUUGGUUCAAAGAAUGACGUGCACUUGCGUUCAGCGUACAGUGUGGAAGUGGUGUGCAGAAUAGUUAUUCUGCUAAUAUAUAUAUAUAUAUAUAUAUAUAUAUAUAUAUAUAUAUAUAUGAUACUAGCUAGCUAGUCUAUGAUAUACUAGCUAGCUCUACCUCACUAAUGCAUAGUAUCAUAGAGUAGUAUCAUCUAGUACUUUAUUUAUUGUCAUGCAUGACACAUAGUAGCAUAGCAUUUAUUAUGACAUGGUUUCAUGAUAUGAUACUUAACCCUCUCUUUCUUCAUUUAAUUCUAUGACAGCUCAUCAAAAUUGCCUAGUUGGUAUGACACUAGCUAUGAUAUCCCAUUACGACCAGCCUAGCAAAGAAGGUGUACAGAUCAUUUGUGCGUCGCUUUGCAAGUUUUCAUCCGUUUGUUCAAGAAGCGGGAGAAGUUUCAAACAUUUCGGGCGCGAGGUGCGGCCACUGGCGUAGGGCUAGUUGAUAUUUUAGUUACAGUAAAUUCAGAUGGAGUCUGGACAUCAUCAAAAUCGAUGCGUGCCUGUGGCGUGCUAUCACGACCUCGUGAAAAAAAUUUAGUAAAGUUUGGCACAAGUUUUGAUGAUCGCUCCUUCCAAACCGGAGCAUCUCACAUGAAGGAUCAUGGUUUCCCAAAGGAGACGUGUCAAUUCAAACUCCUAUGGCCGGUGACUUCAUCGUUUGUCCUCAUAAAUAUUUCCAUGGUACGCAAUCACCGUUAUACCACGGGUUUUAUUUUCUGGCGCAUUUCAGGUAUCGUUAGCUAUAUUUAAGACAUUUUUUGAAUUUAACGUGCAUUUUGUGCAUAAAAAUAACAUUACAACCGGAACUGCCUGUGCUGUCGAAAGGGAUGAGGAUCGUAGUUCGAUCUGGGAGCAUCCAAUGGUGUAGACGUAUGAUCCGUGGGGUGUGGAUUCUGGCCAAUCAGAACGCACGACUCAGAUCAUGGGCGGGGUUUUGUCGGCACACGACUUUCAUCAACAAACCAUGUGCUAUUCGCAAACCAGAUUGCAUACAUAUUUUUGUUCAUACAUACUGUAGUGAGAUCAAUUGAGUGUGUACAUCAACAGAAAACCAGACAUAACUCACAAAUUUAGUACACGCGGCAGUUCUAAAUUGAACGAAUUAAGUUGCAGGGUAGGCAUAAAGACUAGUCUUACAGCUUAAUUCCCAUGUACAUGGGGGAACUGGGAUCAUUACGUUGACCCCGAAUGAACUUGGGUUUUCUGAUGAUUUUACGCUUCUCUGUUACACGUGUGCGUGAUCCCUUGGCUGGCAACUCAUCAAAUUCAUCGUACUCGUCCUCAUCGGCAACAUCGUCGACACCCAGUACCCUCCUCUUCCCAUGCAUCACUACAUGGCAGUUCUUAUGCAAAGGGUCUUCCGCAAAGAAAAUCUGUGUAGCAUCGCUGGCAAGAAUGAACGGCCAUCGUUGUCCUGUGAACACAAGUCUUCCUAUAAUCAUCAACCUUUACUUGACCAAGAGGGAUCCAUGAGCACCUAAAUAAUGCCACCUUAACUUUCACAUAGUCAAGCUCCCAAAUCUCUUUGAUUGUUCCAUAGUAUACCCUUUUAUCAGCUUCAUCUAUAGUCAUGCAUUCUAUUCGAACAGAGUUGUUCUGAUGUGAGGUCUUCUCAUCACAUUCAUCAGUGUAGAACGUGUAUCCAUUUAUGCCAUAUGCUUGGUUCGUCAACACCGCAGGUGAUGGCUUUUGUGCCUACCACGUAGCAAUGUCAUCGAUGGAUCCUUGUGCCAAACGCUUCUUCAGCCAUUCGUCGUAGUUCUUAGUGUGCUCCUUCAUCUCCACAUCUGAUGAAGGCACCAUUGGUAAGAAGCUUUGGCGUAUCUCCGCCAAGUGUUCUUUGGCGUAAGCGCUGAGAACUGGGCUGUUAAGCAGUAUCGUCAAAUGGGCUUUCUUUGCCAAUUCUCCGGGUGCAGCCAUUUGCGUGCCAGCAAGGACCGGCUUACCUUUCAGCCUUCCCUCGUGGCGAGAGAGGGGCAAACCUAUAGGUCAUUGUUUCAUGUAUUCGGUGCAAAACUCAACCACCUCCUCUGUGGUAUAACCUUGAAGGAUGCUUGCCUCUGGAUGGUUUCGGUUAUGACAAAAGCGUUUCAGUAUUCCCAUGAACCACUCAAAGGGAUACAUGUUGGGAAGAAACACAGGACCACAAUACUUUAUCUCGUCGACAAGGUGCAUAGUGAGAUGGACCAUGACAUCAAAGAAUGACGGUGGAAAAAACAUCUCUAGGUUGCACAAUAUUCUUGCAAUAUCAUCUUGCAUAUGAUCCAGCUCUUCAGGAUCUACAACUUUCUGUCAUAGUGGGUUGAAGAAAUCACGGAGCUCAAUGAGUGUGUUCCUUAUAUGUUUGUCCAACAGUUCCUGAUGGCCACCGGGAGAAUUUGUGUCAACAUUACGUGGAAAUCAUGUGACUUCAUGUGUCCCAACUUCAUUUUACCUGAGCUCACAUCCACGAGACUUCUGAUGUUUGUGGAGUAGGAAGAGGGUGUCUUAACUAACAACAAAUAGGUGAAGAACUGUGUUGCUUCUUUUGUACUGAAAUUGUAACUCUGGCGAGCUUUGAUGAAUUUGUCAUCAUCUUCUGCGUCACUCUUUCCUUUUGAUUGAUCAGCAAGCAUCUCGAGCCGUGAACCCUCACCAUCCUUUCUUUUACCUUUAAUCUUGAGCAGAGUACCAAGGAUGCUUUCACAUAUGUUCUUCUCAACGUGCAUGACAUCGAUGCAGUGACGUACACAUAGAAUCUCCCAAUAAGGUAAUUUCCAGAACACCAAUUUCUUCUUAAACACUUGACCCUUGGGUGUUUGUUUCACCGUCAAAGCGUGAUUCUUGCCAAGCACAACAUUAAUUUGUUUAGCCAUGUUGUGGGCCACCUCCCCAUCAUAGGGUCUUGGGCCCACUUCUACCUCUGCCAUACCAUCAAAUUCAGCUUUCAUCUUUUGGUAUGGGUGAUUUUUCCGUAAGAACCUACGAUGACGCAAAUACAUGGUUUUGCAUGAGUUGGGAAGUCUUCUGCUAGCUAUCCUAUCCAUGCAUGUGACACACCCUACAUCUCCCUUUGUUUUCUGCCCCGAUGUGUUGCCUAAUUCCGGCAUAUCUUGAAUGGUGUGCACCAGCAUCGCAUGUAGAUCGAAAAUCUCCUUUUUGUAAGCAUCAUAACAUUUUACAUUAGGUGCAUCUAUCCACACUGUCAGCAAUUCUUCUACCAGUAGCUGAAAGUAAACGUCAAUGUCAUUUCCAGGUUGCUUCGGCCCUUGGAUAAUCAUUGACAUCAUAAUGUAUUUUUUUCUUCAUACACAAUCAAGGAGCUAGGUUAUAUAUGCACAGAAGCACCGGCCAUGUGAUGUGAUUGGUCCUAAUAUCGCCAAAAGGAUUCAUCCCAUCGGUACACUCCCCGAGCCGUAUACUUCUAGGAUCCUUGGCAAAGUCUUCAAACUUGUUCUCGAUUAAUUCCCACUGAGCCCCAUCUUUCGGGUGCGUCAUAUACUUAUCCGCAAUUUGCUCAUCAUGAUGCCACCGCAACCUCUUUGCCUCUCUAGGGUUUGAAAACAAAUGCCUCAACCUUGGAAUUAAAGGCAAGUACCAAACAACCUUGAACGAGAUUCCUGUCUUGAUCUUGUAGUCCAAUCUGUACUUGUCCUUUGCUCUCUUGCGCUUGUAUCGUGCAUGCUUUUAUUCGGGACAUGCACGCAAAUCUUUGUACUCACCAAGGUACAAUAUACAAUCAUUCACACAAGCGUGUAUCUUCUGUACUUCAAGUUCCAAUGGCAAAAAAAAUCUUCGCUUCAUUCGUGCUUCUGGGGAGCACAUUAUCUUCCGGAAGAAUUUCUUUGAAAAGACCUAACAUAUCUGUGAAGCCUUUGUUUGAUAAACUGUUUGCUGCUUUAAAUCUGAGAAGCGCCAGGGUGGCACUCAACCUGGAAUAUUUCCUUUUGCAACUUGGAUACAAUUUUUUCUUGGAGACCGCAUCAAUGGUUGGCAGAUCCUUGUACCCAAUCCUAUCCUUUUCUGGGCCCUUGAAAUCUACAAUCAUAGUAGCAAAAUCUGGCAUAUCAAGAUCGUCGUCAUCUGCAUCGACGUCUUGGUUUUCCAGUGGGCGUUUCGGCUUUCCGAUGUUCCAUUGGUAGCUUGACGCCUCUGUCCCGAUGUUAGAUUCAACACCCAUGUGACACUGAUCGGGGUUUGGCAUCUCGUAGCCCUGGCUAUCUUCAUCCGUGACCUCCUCUUCACCGUGUCUGGUCCAACGUGUAUAUCCAUCCAUGAAUCCCAGAGAGACUAAGUGUCAUUGGACAUCUGCAACUACAUGUGACUCUGUAUUGGCACAAUCAGUACAUGGGCACAUGAUGUAAUCCGCAUAACCAAUUCUCCUCUUUGUACUUUCAGCCAAAUUCAUGAACUUUGUCACGCCACUGAUAAAAUCUGCGGUUUUCCAAUUCUUCAUCCAUUCAGAUCGUUCCAUCUGCACCACACGAAUGGUAAUUAAAAACAAAACAACAACAUUAAUACACAGAUUAACUGCUGCCCAAUGAUGCGUGCAUAAAUCAUAAGGCUUUAUUUUCAUAAUUACUGAGGGCGCUCCAUAUUGUCAUCCAGACAUGGAAUGACAAAAAUUAAUGGCCAGUCAAUUUACACGCAGAGUACUAGUACAAAACUACCCUUAGGAAUUGGAUACCUUAAUUAAGUGACUCACAAAAAGAAUACCUUAAUUAAGUAGCCGCGCGGCGAUGUCAACCCAACAGAGAGAGAAGCGCGAUGCGGCGGCAUGCCGAGACAGCAGGGUCGAGGAGCAAAGCUUAGUGCGGCUGCCGCCUGAAGUUCGACCUCCACUAUACCGCCAUCGACCGCGAUGGAUGUGCUCGAAUCACGCCGACGACGACCUCGACAGCUGAGCUCCUCCUAUCCCCCGCCAUAGACCAAGGAUUGACCUCCUAUGACGCCACCGCCCACCGACCGAGGAUUGGCCUCUUCUCUGGUACCCUUGCUUAGGCCGCCGCCGCCAUCUCUAGAUGCAUACCGGCUGUUUUUUUACGGAUAUCCGCAGAGCGGCUGUUUACACGGUAUCACUCUAACUCAAUUAUAUGCACAGGGUAGUACAUCACAUACGGUUAUGUAACGAUAACCGUGUCUCACCUACGUUGUCUUCUCUCACACGGUUUGGUGCACAAAUCGUGUGUGACGUUGUAAUACCUGACACAAACGACAUGUAUAAACAAUGUGACGUAUACUCCAACAUAUAGUGCCAUAAGUAGUUCCUGACCGUUAGCUUAUCCCCACAGUUUCCCCAUUUCCCCCAAAUCCAUACAUAGCCUCCAAAUUCCCUCGCGUGGAGCUGACAUUGGGGGAAUGCGGGCGAGUGGUGCUGAUGGUUUCGGUGCAGCUGCUCCUGCUCGUAUCGUCGCCACGACGGCGGUCGCCGCCGGGCACUUGCCUAAGGUCAUCAGAAGGUAGGUGUACUAGGGAUCCAAAUCGUCCUGUCAGGUUCCAAUCUAUCCCGAUCUUUUUUAGCGUGCCCAAAGUAGCUCCUUGCAGAAUCCGUCCUAAAUUGACCCCCCCCCCAGGAAAGCGAUCGCCGCCCGAUCCGGAGCAUGACUCCAGACUCCCACAACAUGAGUUGGACUCCGAGUUUUGCGCCACCGAGAAGUAAGAAAAGCUGAGUUGUGUGUACGGAGACACUCCUGCUCGACGUGUACGCACGAAGGGAUUCGACAUCGGCAGGCUGAUUCUCAGUUGCCCCUUAGAGGUUAGUGCUAAGUUCAUCAUUUUACUUGAGUUAAUGCCACCGCUCAUCUUGAAUACUACUUAACAUUGGCAGGGAUAUGAGGCUUGUGCCUUUGUUAACUGGAUGGAUGAAGAAUGGCAUGGCAGGGCUCAGAGAGUUAUCACCAAGCUCGCAAAACAUAACGUUAAGUUGAAGAGGAAACUGGUUGAUCUGGAAUGUACAAUCAGUACGACGAAGCAAGAAAGAAUCAAUCACAGGCAACAGAUGAAAGCAAGAGACAAGAAGGAACAAGCAUAUGUAGUUGUGGUUGUCAUUUGCCAUGUUAUAUGCGCUGUUUGCAAUGAUGAUUAAGGGUUUUGUUUGUGAAAGCACAAGUGCUCCCUGGGUGAUUUUGGUAAUUAAUGUCAAUAUAUCUCUUAUUGGACGAAUACUUUCAUCAAGUAUAUUUCAGAUAAUCCCAAUAGUGGAGUGGCAUGGACAAGAGGAUGUGGAACCCCUUCAAGAUGCUAAGGACAAAGGAUUGGCUCAAGCUCAAAGCUCAGGACUCUACAUCUUCUAUUUUCAGUGAUCCAAGAUCACAUUGAGUGUAUAGGAAAGCCAAUACUAUUAAAAGGGGAUGAGGUGUUGCCUAAUGGCUUGCUUGCUCAAAGUGCUUAGUGAUAUGCUCCAAAGCCCUCAGCCAUUUUCUCAUAUCCACAUAUGUCCCAAACCAAAAGUCAAACUCGGCCCCACCGAUUUGAUCCAUCCGACGCCACCGAGUUCGUUUGACAUAGCCACUGCCAAAAACCCUAAGCCAUUCGGUCACACCGAUGGGAUCUCGGUCUCACCGAGAUGGGCUUGCAAUCUCUCUAUUGUCUAUUACAACAUUUUGGUCCCAUCGAGUAGAUGUAAUCGGUCACACCGAGUUUGUGUGACCAACUCUCUAUUUUACUUAUUACCAAAUCGGUCUCACUGAGUUGUGUAAUCGGUCAAAUUGAGAUGAGGUUUUACCCUAACCCUUGCACAUCGGUCCCACCGAGUUGAUCAUGUCGGUCCCACCGAAAUUGCCUAACAGUCACAUAUGUACUAAAUCGGUCCGACCGAGUUUUCUGAUUCGGUCCCACCGAGUUUGGUAUAAUGUGUGUAACGGUUAGAAUUUGUGUGGAGGCUAUAUAUACCCCUCCACCCUCUCCUCAUUCGUGAGGGAAGCCAUCAGAUCGUGCCUACACUUCCACUACCCAUUUUCUGAGAGAGAGCCACCUACUCAUGUGUUGAGACCAAGAUAUUCCAAUCCAACCAUAUGAAUCUUGAUCUCUAGACUUCCCCAAGUUGCUUUCCACUCAAAUUAUCUUUCCACCAAAUCCAAUCCUAUGAGAGUGAGUUGAGUGUUGGGGAGACUAUCAUUUGAAGCACAAGAGCAAGGAGUUCAUCAUCAACACACCAUCUAUUACCUUUUGGAGAGUGGUGUCUCCUAGAUUGGUUAGGUGUCACUUGGGAGCCUCCGACAAGAUUGUGGAGUGAACCAAGGAGUUUGUAAGGGCAAGGAGAUCGCCUACUUCGUGAAGAUCUACCCUAGUGAGGCAAGUCCUUCAUGGGCGAUGGCCAUGGUGGGAUAGACAAGGUUGCUUCUGCGUGGAUCCUUCAUCGGUGGAGCCCUCCGUGGACUCACGCAGCCGUUACCCUUCGUGGGUUGAAGUCUCCAUCAACGUGGAUGUACGAUAGCACCACCUAUCAGAACCACGACAAAAACAUUCGUGUCUCCAAUUGCGUUUGCACAGUCCUAUCCCAUCCCUUUACUUUCUUGCAAGUUGCAUGCUUUACUUUCCACUGCCAAUAUACUCUUUUCAUGCUUGCUUGAUUUGUAUUGUGAAUGGUUAAACUUGUGCUUAAACUCCACCUAAACUUGAAAACUUAAAAACUGCCAACUUUGUGUGUUAAGGGUCUAUUCACCCCCCUCUAGACACCUCUUCUCGAUCCUUUCAAUUGGUAUCAGAGCUUUGGUCUCCAUUGCUUUGGUUUAAACACCAUUGGAGGAAGAUGGAUGAGUCUACUUUGGGGAGUCUUAGACAUAGAGUGCCUAUACUUGGAGAGUACUUUCAUGAGUGGAAAAAUGAGAUGCUUGAGAUUUUAAAUGAAUAUCAUUUGAACAAGUACAUUACUAGACCUUGUGUACCUCAUGUUGAUCCUAUGAAUCCUACCCUUGAUGAGUCAAUUGACAUGAUUCACAAUCUUAGAACUGUUAGUCUUAUCACUAGAGGUUUUCCUAGAAACUUGAUAGGUUGCUUACCUACUCUUAAGUGUGCCUACACUAUAUGGAAAUUUCUUGAGGAACGAUUUCCAAAUUAUUCCUUGCAAAAUCUAGAUGAGAUUCUUCAUAAGUCUAUUGCCUUGAGUAAGAUGAAUUCCAAUGAUCCUAAGUUUGGUGAUUGUCUAUUUGAGCUUAGAAAUCUUAUGCGUGCUAAAGGAGAUGUUAGAAUUAUUAGCAAUAUUAUUUCCGAAGCUAUUAGAAUUCAUAAAGGAGAUCAUUGUCAAACUCAACUAUCUAAUGAAUCACCCUCUCUAGGAAUUGAUCCACCACAUGACUAUGUUGAACAUGGAUACUAUGAUGAGGAUGAUGAUAGUGACUUUGAUCUUGAUGAUGCAAUGAGACACUUUGGUCUUAUGGAAAAUCUUCGGGGAUACAUGGCAGGAGGAAAGGAAUGGGUUCUUGAUAGUGGAUGUACCGAUCACAUGACCGGAGAUAAAGAUAUGUUUCGUGAGCUUGCUGAAAACGACGGCCCUUGAAAGUAUGUCACUUUUGGUAAUAACUCAAAGGGUAAGGUGGGUGGCCUCGGUAAGGUGGCCAUCUCACAUGAUAGCUCCAUACAAAAUGUCAUGCUCGUUGAAUCUCUUGGCUAUAAUCUGCUUUCUGUUUCUAGACUAGCUGACUUUGGCUUCAAUGUUCUAUUUACCAAAGUAGAUUACCAAGAGUUUCAUAGAGAGUCCCCUUCUUCAUGGACAUAAUAAUACUUAGCUCAUGGGCUAUUUGGAUUUCCAGAAACAACAAGAUCUUUGAACAUAUCCACCCCACAUUUCAAGGAUGGAAGAACAUUUUCUUGAUGGAGCUGAAGUUACUCAAGCACAGGAUGAGAACAAAACAUGCCAACCAAUUCAACUCAUGGUUGGAUUUCAAGGAUAGUUUUGUUCUUUCUCUUUGGCAGCUCCUUCCUGCCUAGGUCUUUAGCUUUAGCUUCAGUUAUAGCCUUAGUCUUAGUCUUCUGUUUUGUUUUUCUAGCUUCUUUAGUUUCUUCUCUUUCUUCUUCUUCUUUUCUUCUUCUGCUCUUUUAGGGUGCUUCUCUCAAGCCCUUGCUGUUUUCUUCUUUCUUUGUAGCUCUGGACCUUGCACUUGCUUAGUUAUUUAUAAAAAUUGCAGUGGGGUGUUUUACCCUACUGUUUAUAGUAAAAAAAAGUGUUUCGUAGAGAUAAUCAUAAAAUGGUCUUUACCAAUAUACGCAAAGGUGAUCUAUACAUUGUUGAUUUCACUUAAAAGGCUCAACCCAGAACUUUCUUAAUUGCUAAAUCCUCUAAAGGUUGGUUGUGGCAUAGACGGUUAGGUCAUGUGGGCAUGCGAAACCUUGACAAGCUUAUUAAACGAGAUCAUAUCCUUGGUGUUAAAGAUGUCAUAUUUGAUAAGGAUAGACUUUGCAGCGCUUAUCAAGCAGGUAAAUAGGUUGGAGGAAGCCACCCCGUGAAGAACAUCAUGACCAUAAGGAGGCUGCUGGAGCUGCUUCACAUGGAUCUUUUCGGUCCUAAUGCUUACAAAGGUCUCGGUGGAAACUCAUUUGGUCUAGUUAUAGUUGAUGAUUUUUCAAGAUUUACGUGGGUGUUCUUUCUCGAUGAUAAAUCGCGGUCCAAAAGAUCUUCAAAAACUUCGCUAGGAAGGCCCAAAAUCAAUUUGAAGUGAAGAUCAAGAAGGUUCGCAGUGACAACGGAACGGAGUUCAAGAACGCAAAUGUGGACACCUUUCUUGACGAAGAAGGGAUUUUACAUGAGUUCUCGGCUACAUACACACCGCAACAAAAUGGAGUUGUUGAGAGGAAGAACCGGACGCUCAUCGAAAUGGCACGAACAAUGCUUGAUGAGUACAAGACGCCAAAGCACUUUUGGGCGGAAGUGGUUGAAACAGCUUGUCAUGCGACAAAUCCUUGUAUCUUCACAAGCUACUCGGCAAGACGAUAUACGAGCUCCUCACCAGUAACAAAUCCCAAGUUGGAUACUUUCGAGUAUUUGGCUCAAAGUGCUACAUUCUUGAUAAACUCGCCGUUCUAAAUUUGCUCCAAAAUCUCAUGAAGGUUUCCUACUUGGUUAUGGCUCAAACUCUCACACUUGCCGUGUCUACAACAAUUUCACCCGAAAGGUUGAGGAGACGGUAGAUGUGAAGUUUGAUGAAUCUAAAGGCUCGCAAGUAGAGCAAUUGCCAAUUGAUGUAGGAGAUAAAGAUCCUUCGAAAGCAAUCCAAGACUUGUCGAUUGGCAAAGUUCGUCCAACAGAGGUGAAGGAGAGUACCUCGUCCAUCGAAGUGGAAGCUUCUACCUCACGACAAGGUGAACCAAGAGUUGAUAUGGAAGCAUCCACAAGUGGGACACACCAAGAUGAAUAAAACAAGGAAGUACACCAAGAUGAACCACAUCAACCUCCUUCUCCACCACGACAAGGGAAUGACAACGUCAACCAUGAUGAAGGCCAAGAAGAAGAACGAGAUGAUGAAGAAUAUGUUCCACCCCGAUCAAAGCAAAAUCUCUCAUGAGUUCGAGCAAGAGUUGCUAGAGACCAUCCCGUCGAGCAAAUCUACAAUGGUAUCCAAACCGGGAGAAUCACUCGCUCUAAAUCUCGUUUGGCUAAUUUUUGUGAACAUUAUUCAUUCAUCUCUAGCAUUGAACCUAUGAAGGUUGAAGAAGCAUUGGAAGAUCCGAAUUGGAUAAAAGCCAUGCACGAAGAACUACACAAUUUUGAGAGAAACCAAGUAUGGACAUUGGUCGAGAAGCCCGACAACAACCACAACAUCAUCGAUACCAAAUGGGUGUUUCGCAACAAGAAAGAUGAAGAUGGACAAGUAGUUUGCAACAAAGCACGCCUCGUCGCCCAAGGCUACACUCAAGUUGAAGGUAUGGACUAUGGUGAGACAUAUGCCCCCGUUGCUAGACUUGAGUCCAUUCGCAUAUUACCUGCCUAUGCUAAUCACCAUGAUAUCACUUUAUACCAAAUGAACAUUAAAAGUUUUUUUUCUAAAUGGUGAAAUUGAGGAGGAAGUUUAUGUUAAACAACCUCCCGGCUUUGUCAAUCCUAAGAAACCCAAUCAUGUUUACAAGCUUCACAAAGCUCUUUAUGGUCUUAAACAAGCUCCUAGAGCAUGGUAUAAAUGCUUGACCAAGUUCCUCAUUAAAAAAGGCUUUGAGAUUGGAAAAAUUGAUUCUACUCUUUUCACUAAAAGGGUUAGUGGAGAAUUAUUUGUGUGCCAAAUGUAUGUUGAUGAUAUAAUAUUUGGAUCAACUAACCCUCAUUUUAGUGAGAAUUUUGGGAAGCUUAUGUCGGAGAAGUUUGAGAUGUCUAUGAUGAGUGAACUCAAGUUAUUUCUUGGUUUGCAAAUCAAGCAAACUAAGGAAGGCACCUUCGUCUCUCAAACGAAGUACACCAAAGACUUGUUCAAGAAGUUCAAUAUGCAAGAAUGCAAAGGUAUGAGUACACCCAUGCCUACUAGUGGACAUCUUGACUUGACCAAAGAUGGUGAACCCGUUGAUCAAAAGGUUUAUCGCUCUAUGAUUGGUUUACUAUUGUAUCUAUAUGCCUCUCGUCCCGAUAUCAUGCUAAGUGUGUGCAUGUGUGCACGAUAUCAAGCGGACCCUAAAGAGUGUCAUCUUAAGGCCGUGAAAAGUAUAGUGAGAUACUUAAUCCAUACACCAAACUUUGGCAUUUGGUAUCCAAAGAGGGCCUCUUUCAAUCUUGUUGGCUACUCCGACUCGGACUAUGCCGGUGACAAGGUUGAUAGAAAGUCCACUUCGGGUACUUGUCAAUUUCUUGGUAGAUCUCUUGUAUCUUGGUCCUCCAAGAAACAAAACUCGGUAUCCUUAUCCACCACCGAAGCGGAAUACAUUGCCUCCGGUUCAUGUUGUGCUCAAUUACUUUGGAUGACCCGAACUCUUAAAGAUUAUGGGAUAUAUGUGAAACAUGUUCCUUUGCUUUAUGACAAUGAAAGUGCUAUUAAGAUUGCUCACAAUCCCGUGCAACACUCUCGAACUAAGCACAUUGAAGUUCGCCAUCAUUUCAUUCGAGAUCAUGUUACUAAGGGUGAUAUUAACCUUAAGCACGUUCACACCGACAAGCAGUUGGUGCAUAUAUUCACUAAACCACUUGAUGAGAAAGUGUUUUGCAGGUUGAGAGGUGAAUUGAACAUCAUUGAUUCCUCAAACUUGGAGUAGGAACUCCAUUUGGAUAUAUGCAAGACAUGAGCCUAUGACUAAUCCUUGAUAUUUCUCUCAUGAUGAUGAUCAUAUAUCUUGGAUACAUUUGCACCCUUGCAUGUUAUCUAACCCAUGUAGGUACUUGGAUGGAUCUAAAUCUAUGAGAUUGCAACUCAUUCACAUCUUGAGCAAUCUCUACAUCACCAAGUCUCUACUUUACGGUGGUUGAAGACAAGGAAGCAUGAAACCCUUCAAAUAUAUCCUUUGACAAAUUCCUAUAUCAGAUUUCAUGAUUAUCAUUUUGGAUACACAAGUGCUUUUCCUUGCAAAUCUAAUCCAUGUAGGUAGAUGAACUCCAAUUACAAGUGGUGCUCCAAAUGAACUACAUCAACAUUGAGCAUCCCACACAAGUUCAACUACAUGAUUCAACACCACCACCCAAGGUAUGUUAUUCCAUCUUAGAGAAGCUUUACCCCAAGACAUGGGUCCAAGCAACUCAACAAGAUGUGAAUACAUCAAGAUGCUUAAACGAAAAAUGGCAACCCCAUUUUGAGCUUAAACAAUGAGUAUGACCUAUGAUCAAGUGUCCUCACUUGACUCCUAAGUAAAUAUACUCUAACAUAGGGGACCUUGUCGCCGACCAAUUCUAGAUGAAGUUCUCUAGUAUUUUCUUUUCUUGCAUUCUGUCUCAUGCAUUUUUGUUAAAAAACAUCAUCUAGAUUUCUUCUUUUUUAUUUUUGUUCUGCAUUUCUCUGCAUCCAAUUCAUUGCAAAUCCUUGUGAGAUCAUUCUUGCCUAGUGAGCUAAGGUGAAUAGUAUUUUCUCUAUGAUGAACUCAGACAAACCGAUUUGCCUCUUUCGGUCAAACCGAAAUUUUUGGUGCCACCGAAGGAACCAACUCGGUUUACCCGACUUCAAUACUGAGAAAUCACUCUGUCACAUGCAUUCUGUACACUUUGUUCCAGCUCCACUUGAUGAUUCUUAUCCUCUACCAGCAUCAUAUUCCAUGUGCUUCUUUGCUCUGUGACUCAAGGACCAAACCUAUUUUGACUCACACUCCAGAAGGCCCUUCUUGGAAAUUGAUGUCAAAGGGGGAGAGAGAGUUCACAUCAAAGCUUAAUUACUCCAUCAAAGGGAGAGAGCAAUAGGGGGAGAGAAACAUUCUUAUCUAAAGAGAGACCCCAGUUGUUUGUUGUUUUGCAUUCAAAGAGGAGAGAAGUUACAUGUCUUUAGAGGGGAAAGACAUGUUUAUGCUGUUUUGUGUUUGCUUUGCUCUGAUUUUCUUUUCCUUAUUUUCUCCCAACAUCCAUUAUAAGAUUCAGGGGGAGUAAGACAUCUAAGGGAAGGAAAUCUUAAAAUUCAUUGCACAUUUUUACCUUUGGGGACAUGUCUACACUCAAAUAGAGUACCUAGUACUCACUCUAUACAUGUCAUCCCAAUCUUGGUACUCUUGUGGUUUACUGCUCUUGCUCUGCUUAGUAAAUGUUUCUGUGUUGUCUAACCUUGUUUACUCAGGUUCAUCUCUUCCAAAGCUAGUUAUAGACCACAAGGUAAGUAUAUUCAUCACACUCAUGUACAUGAGGAUCUCUUGCUGAUGUACAUAUUAUUUGCAAGAAGGACUGAUGAGCAUGAAGGUACAUUUCUGAUGUUGACACCAUUUGCUCUGAUGCAUAUAGCCAAGAUACAUGUAACUCAUUCCUUGCUCUUUCAUGAUUAUGCACUCACAUGAUCUUAUGUUCUAUAUUUACAUGAUUGCAUACAUGUAGGGGCAGCCUAUGCAUGUUACAUGUCUUUCCAAAGCUUUACUUGCCUUUCUCUAUAUCUUUAUCUAAAGCUUUGAUGUAUGUUGUCAUCAAUUACCAAAAAGGGGGAGAUUGAAAGAAUAAGUGCUCCCUAGGUGAUUUUGGUAAUUAAUGUCAAUAUAUCUCUUAUUGGACGAAUACUUUCAUCAAGUAUAUUUCAGAUAAUCCCAACAGUGGAGUGGCAUGGACAAGAGGAUGUGGAACCCCUUCAAGAUGCUAAGGACAAAGGAUUGGCUCAAGCUCAAAGCUCAGGACUCUACAUCUUCUAUUUUCAGUGAUACAAGAUCACAUUGAGUGUAUAGGAAAGCCAAUACUAUUAAAAGGGGAUGAGGUGUUGCCUAAUGGCUUGCUUGCUCAAAGUGCUUAGUGAUAUGCUCCAAAGCCCUCAACCAUUUUCUCAUAUCCACAUAUGUCCCAAACCAAAAGUCAAACACGGCCCCACCGAUUUGAUCCAUCAGGCGCCACCGAGUUCGUUUGACAUAGCCACUGCCAAAAACCCUAAUCAAUUUGGUCACACCGAUGGUAUCUGGUCUCACCGAGAUGGGCUUGCAAUCUCUCUGUUGUCUAUUACAACAUUUUGGUCCCAUCGAGUAGUGUAAUCGGCCACACCGAGUUUGUGUGACCAACUCUCUAUUUUACUUAUUACCAAAUCGGUCUCACUGAGUUGUGUAAUCGGUCAAAUUGAGAUGAGGUUUUACCCUAACCCUUGCACAUCGGUCCCACCGAGUUGAUCAUGUCGGUCCCACCGAAAUUGCCUAAUGGUCACAUAUGUACUAAAUCGGUCCGACCGAGUUUUUUGAUUCAGUCGCAUCGAGUUUGGUAUAAUGUGUGUAACAGUUAGAAUUUGUGUGGAGGCUAUAUAUACCCCUCCACCCUCUCCUCAUUCGUGAGGGAAGCCAUCAGAUCGUGCCUACACUUCCACUACCCAUUUUUUGAGAGAGAGCCACCUACUCAUGUGUUGAGACCAAGAUAUUCCAAUCCAACCAUAUGAAUCUUGAUCUCUAGCCUUCCCCAAGUUGCUUUCCACUCAAAUCAUCUUUCCACCAAAUCCAAUCCUAUGAGAGUGAGUUGAGUGUUGGGGAGACUAUCAUUUGAAGCACAAGAGCAAGGAGUUCAUCAUCAACACACCAUCUAUUACCUUUUGGAGAGUGGUGUCUGCUAGAUUGGUUAGGUGUCACUUGGGAGCCUCGGACAAGAUUGUGGGGUGAACCAAGGAGUUUGUAUGGGCAAGGAGAUCACCUACUUCAUGAAGAUCUACCCUAGUGAGGCAAGUCCUUCGUGGGCGAUGGCCAUGGUGGGAUAGACAAGGUUGCUUCUUCGUGGACCCUUCAUGGGUGGAGCCCUCUGUGGACUCGCGUAGCCGUUACCCUUCGUGGGUUGAAGUCUCCAUCAAUGUGGAUGUACGAUAGCACCACCUAUCAGAACCACGACAAAAACACCCGUGUCUCCAAUUGCGUUUGCACACUCCAAUCCCAUCCCUUUACUUUCUUGCAAGUUGCAUGCUUUACUUUCCGCUGCCCAUAUACUCUUUGCAUGCUUGCUUGAUUUGUAUUGUGAAUGGUUAAACUUCUGCUUAAACUCCACCUAAACUUGAAAAACUUAAAAACUGCCAACUUUGUGUGUUAAGGGUCUAUUCAGCCCCCUCUAGACACCUCUUCUCGAUCCUUUUAGUUUGAAAGUAUUGCUAAAGCACAUCUAGAUGUGCUCUAAGUAAUGCACAUCUCGGUCCUAUGCCAUUGAUGUUACGCGAAGAUUCAUGCAGAUAUUUUCCUUUGUCCUUUUCUUUUCCUUUCUAGUUUGGUUAUUACUGGCUUUAUCAAUAAUAAGAGCUUAAUGUAUUGCUUGCCAACUGUCCUACUCCGUUCAUACUGUUACCGGUGCAUAAUCCCAAAACCCGUUCCUUGUUUUUGUCCUGAAAAAGGAUACCAGCCAAAUAGCCAAUAGGAGUCCUGCGCAACCCCAGGAAUUUGGAGUGACUGGGUACAAAUAAUUGCGGUUAGAUAAUACGUCAACCCCCGCUUCAAUUGGCAGUUCCUCUUCUCUGCAUACCUCUAAGUGUCCACCAUCUUCAUCGUCCCCGGCAGGCCGCGCUACAUAGUGGCACACACUCUGUAGCCAUGUCGAGCGACAGGGAGGACGACAGUUCGGCCAGUAGUCUGGCGCCCGAUGAGAGGUUAACAUCGGAAUCAUCCCGCUCGUCUUCCAUGAGUCCGACGUCGAGCCCAGACCUCGAUUAUAUCCGGUUCAUGGAAGGGACGCCACCUCCGGAGUUGUCAGACAACAACUAGCCGGAUGAGGAGCUGUUGGAGGACGAAGAAGAGGACGACGAUGAGGAGGAGGAGGAUGACGACAGCAACGACGAUGACGACAGCGGUGGCGAUGAAAAGCCAACGGUCAGCGACAAAAAGCGUCCUCGCCAAGACGAUGUCGUGGGGCCAUCCAACAACAACAACAACAAGAAGGACUAAAUUAAGCAGACUGUAUAUAUCUUUAUUUAUCCUGUCAAUCUCAUCGCAGACGAUUAGUAGUAUGUAUUCGACAGAGAUCUUCUACAUUAUCGCCCAUAGGUUGGUUUGUUGAACUGUGUGCCCUGACAAACACACAAUUCACAAAAAAGACCAUAUGGGCUGUCUAUAAUGAUCGCACACAAUUCUGAUUACCGACUUGUUUGCCGGGUAUCACACACAUCUUGUUAUGCCGAAUCGUUUGUGUUCACCUCAAUCAUCGCAAACGGUUCAUCGGAGCAAACUAUAUGUCGUAUAUUGCACACACCUUGAUCUGGCUGCCCGUUUUCUGUUGUUCUGUCUCAUCGCAAACUGUUCGUGCAGACCAACCGUAUGCGCCUCAUCGCACAUGCAACUAAAAUCUGAACCGUGUGAUAUGCAUUCGUCAUCGCAAACCUUUUGCCCAUUUUUGACGGUUUUCUUGCACCAUCGUUUGCGAUUAUUGCAUUGCACACAGUUUCUUGAAGGGUAUCUCAUCGUAGUGUCGCGUUAGCAGCAUCCUGCAGUAGUGCAUGUUAAAGAUCUUUAUGCACAUGAUCCUAUGUUUGCGACUCAUUAUGCCAAAUGUCUUGCUAACACUGGUCGGGAGAACUAUUAUCUCAACAAUGGCUACCUUAUGCACACUAACAAGCUUUGUAUACCGAAGUCUUCGCUUCAUUUGCUACUUUCGCAAUAGGCCCACGACAGAGGACUUUUGGGAUAUUUCAGGCGCGACAAGACCUUUGCCACACUCUCCUUCAAGUACUUUUGUCCAAAGAUGUUCCGCAACGUGGCACGAUUCAUCAACAAAUGCUCUACAUGCCGCAAAGCUAAGUCACAAUCUCAAUCUCAUGGUUUAGAUAUGCCACUACCAAUUCUGUAUCAACCAUGGGAAGAUAUUAGUAUGGAUUUGGUGCUUGGUUUGCCUAGGACUCAAAAAAUGGAAAGGAUUCCAUAUUUGUUGUUGUGGACCGAUUCUCAAAAAUGGCACAUUUCAUCCCAUGUAAUAAGAUAGACGAUGCUUCACAUGUUGCAAAUCUCUUUUGUCGGGAUCUUGAGGUUGCAUGGAGUGUCAAGGACCAUUGUGUCGGACCGCGACGUCAAGUUCCUAAGCUACUUUUGGAAGACAAUAUGCGCCAAGCUCGGCAUCAAGCUACUAUUCUCGACGGCCUAUCAUCCCCAAACCGAUGGCUAAAGGGAAGUCACCAACCGGACGCUAUCUACUCUCUUACGCGUGUUGAUAAAGAAGAACAUCAAGGAGUGAGGGGGGAUGUUUACCCAUCGCCGAGUACGCCUACAAUCGAGCUCGGCACUCUACUACCGGCAAGUCCCCCUUCGAGGUUGUCUACGUCUUGAACCCAUUGUCCCCAUUGGACAUUCUACCUCUUCCGCUCCAAGAACACGCAAACAUGGAUGCAAGUGCAAGGGCAAGCUUUCUCAAGAAGAUACAUGAAGAUACAAGGGCAACGAUCGAGCGUCAAGUACAUCACAUUGUCACCAAGCUCAACAUCAACAAGACACCAAUGGUGUUCCAACCAAGAGAUCUUGUAUGGCUUCAUCUUCGCAAGGACCGCUUCCGCAACGAGCGCAAGUCCAAGCUACUACCACCAGCCGAUGGACUCUUCAAGGUGCUAGCACGCUACAACGACAACGCCUACAAGAUCGACAUCCCACGCUACAAGUACAACGUAAGAGACAAGUGAAUUCCUCUUUGUGUUCUUGGUGUUCAUCCCUCUUUCCCCUCCAAGUGUGAAAAGAUCCAUCUUAGGGUUUCACCCUACAACAGAACGUUUCCUCCUAGUGACGCACGUUGCUGGAAGGCCUGAAAUAAAUCUGGAAAAAUGCGAACACCAAUGUAAGUCUAAAACUUGAACUCUGUUGGGUUAGAGAUAUCACUGUCCUCCUAACCAUCCAAUUACAUGUUGGUUUGGCAUAAAUCUUUUUUUUAUCUAUAUGAAAUGACAGUGCCGUCGUCUAACAAAAGAUGCUAGCUCAAGUGAAGUGCAUGAACAUGCUCUCAAAAUUAAUGGCCCAUUUAUAUAUUUAUAUCAAUGUCCCUUUACCUUUAUUUCUACUAGUCUUAAAUUAUCACAAAUAAUAAGUACCACAUGUGUGGCACAAUGCGCUCCAGCCUGACGUUUUUUACAACUAAAGUUGUCAUUUAAAAGAAAACUUACCAUUCGAAAAGAAAGUUGUCAUGCUUGACCAUUAAAGUUAUCAUACUCGCAUCAAUAAAUUUGCCGUGAAAAUAUUCAGAGUUGCUAUGUGUUUGACCAUUAAAGUUGGUCAUACUUGCAUCACUAAACGAAGAAAGUGUCAACAAAUAAUUUUGUGAACAUUCAUGGAGGGUCAAUAUCAUGAGUUGGCGAGGAAGAAACAAUAACAGAAGCUAAAAUAUAAACCGACACCCUGGGUUUAGAUUACUAGAUACACACACAAACACACAUUGUUGCCUCGAUUGUUUCCUCUCCAACGAUCAACCCACGUACGCAUGCACACAAGAUGAGCAUCUUCACUUCUGCUCUGCUCUAGUUAGACUCGAGCUGCGCGUACCACACACCCU